This 53996-nucleotide long non-coding RNA is filed under the name Malus domestica (apple). RNAcentral's name for it is "long non-coding RNA (MDOM_LNC007116)". The record is from RNAcentral. Lineage: Eukaryota; Viridiplantae; Streptophyta; Magnoliopsida; Rosales; Rosaceae.
CAACGCGGCGUAGUGUCCGAUUGAUUGCUUCAAAACAGAGCUUCGUAUCCAUGUGUUUAUAAGCACAGAGUACCCAAAACCCCAGAAAAUUAUUUCUUUAUUCAGAUAAUAAAAUUUCGCAAAUUUCGAAUUUUAAUUCCGAACCAAAAAUAGGGUUUGAAUUUUGAUUACCUAGAAAUUGGGGGUUGGGGUGGAGAGGGACUGAGGCCAAGACGCAGCUAUGUGUCCGUGAUCAGGUGUGCCAAUUUACAGAGGGUGUCGGGAAGAUGCACAAGGCUUUUGCAGUUUCUCAGAUUUAAAUACUGAAGCCCCGUAAGGCGUUCAAUCCAGGGGGAAAGCUCUUUGAUAGAUGUUCCAUCCAAGAAAAGCGCUCUUAAUCCUUCCAUAUUUUCUUCAAUGCUUGGAAACACCUCAAACUUUGUACAACCGGAAAGAGAGAGAUAGACCAGGGACUUGAGCUGACAAAUGCUGCUUGGAAGACCCUUAAGUUCCUUGCAAUCAUCUAGCUUUAAAUAACUCAAUCCCGUGAGAUUAUUAAUUGACGAGGGCAGUUCUUUAAUUUUUGACCCGGAAAAAUAAAGAACUUUUAACCCCUCAAUCACUUCUGAAAUCUCUGGAAACAUCUCUAGACUCGAGCAACCAGAAAGAUUAAGAGUUUUGAGAGAUUUCAUACGAAUGCUGCUUGGAAGACACUUAAGUUCCUUGCAAUCAUCUAGGAGCAAAUGACUCAACCCCGUGAGGUUAUUAAUUGACAGGGGUAGUUCUUUAAUUUUUGACCCGGAUAACUCAAGCUCUUCUAACCCCUCAAUCACUUCUGAAAUCUCUGGAAACAUCUCUAGACUCGAGCAUCCAGAAAGAUUAACGGCUUUGAGAGAUUUCACAAGAAUGCUGCUUGAAAGACACUUAAGUUCCUCGCAAUGAUCCAAGCUUAAAUAACUCAACCCAGUGAGAUUAUUAAUUGACGAGGGCAAUUCUUUAAUUUUUGACCCGGAUAAAUCAAGAAAUUCUAACCCCUCGAUCACUUCUGAAAUCUCUGGAAACAUCUCUAGACUCGAGCAACCAGAAAGAUUAAGCACUUUGAGAGAUUUCAUACGAAUGCUGCUUGGAAGACACUUAAGUUCCUUGCAAUCAUCUAGGUGCAAAUGACUCAACCCCGUGAGGUUAUUAAUUGACGGGGGUAGUUCUUUAAUUUUUGACCCGGAUAACUCAAGCUCUUCUAACCCCUCAAUCACUUCUGAAAUCUCUGGAAACAUCUCUAGACUCGAGCAGCCAGAAAGAUUAAGGGUUGUGAGAGAUUUCAUACGAAUGCUGCUUGGAAGACACUUAAGUUCCUCGCAAUUAUCUAGGCUUAAAUAACUCAAACCACUGAGAUUAUUAAUUGAUGGGGGCAAUUCUUUAAUUUUUGACCCGGAUAAAUCAAGAACUUCUAACCCCUCAAUCACUUCUGAAAUCUCUGGAAACUUCUCAAGACUCAGGCAGCCAGAAAGAAAGGAAUUUAAGAGAUUUCAUACGAAUGCUACUUGGAAGACACUUAAGUUCCUUGCAAUCAUCUAGGAUCAAACGACUCAACCCCGUGAGGUUAUUAAUUGACGAUGGCAGUUCUUUAAUUUUUGACCUAGAUAAAUCAAGCUGUUCUAACCCCUCAAUCACUUGUAAAAUCUCUGGAAACAUCUCAAGACUCCAGCAGCCAGAAAGAUUAAAGGUUUUGAGAGAUUUGAUACGAAUGUUGCUUGGAAGACUCUUAAGUUCCUUGCAAUUUUCUAGGUUCAAAUGACUCAACCCCGUGAGAUUAUUAAUUGACGAGGACAGUUCUUUAAUUUUUGACUUGGAUAAAUCAAGCUCUUCUAACUCCUCCAUACCUUCUAAAAUCUCUGGAAACAUCUCAAGACUGGAGCAGCCAGAAAGAUUAAAGGUUUUGAGAGAUUUCAUACGAAUGCUGCUGGGUAGAAUCUUAAGUUUCUCGCACCCUUUCAGAUUCAAUAAAACAAGGUUUCUAAGAGUCCUAAUAGACUGGUGAACCUCAACUAAGCUUCUACAACCUUGAAGAAUUAGCCUCUCAAGAUUUGGCACAUUUGUGAAGUCAGGGGUUUCCUCAAGGUAUUGACAAUAACUUAAAUUGAUGACUUCCAACUUUUCCAGCGUCUGUUAAAACAUUUAGGAAAGCAUGCAUUACUUAAUAAGACAUCUCACUCAAAACCCAAACAUUUAAAAGAAACAAAUACAUGUAAAUGAUUGUACAUACCUGGGUUCCUUCCCAAAGUCGGUCAAUGAGACUAAAUUGCAUGUCAAGUUCAACAAGAUUUUUGAAUUGAAAGUUGGAUAGCAAAGACUUGAGAGGGAAUCCAAACCAGGAGAGAUACCUCAAGUUAAGUAACUUAAAGGGCCCAAUCAAGUGGUGUUUGCAGUAAUCAUGUUUAGAAAUGGAGUCCUUAUGACUGAUCUUGAUAAGUCUUAGUUGAUUCAUGCUAACAAAAGCUUCAGCAUUUAAGCAUACCCAGUCUGAGUACGAGAAAUCCACGAUUAUGCUUUCAACUGAUUUUGUAGCCUGUGUAAAUCAAAGUAAGGGAAAAUACAGAGAACCUUAGUUUAGAUUAUGAAACUAAUACUUGUUUCUUAAGGAGCCGUUUGAUAAUCAUUUUGUUUUUAGUUUAAUUGUUUUCAAUUUUCAAUUAUUAAAACAAUAAACACUAAAGGUUGUACCCAGUGCACAAGGCUCCCGCUUUACGCAGGGUCUGGGAGAGAUGAAUGUUGGCUAGCCUUACCCCCAUUUAUGGAGAGGCUGCUUCCAAGUCUCGAACCCGAGACCUACCGCUCAUGGGCGAAGGCACUUGUCAUCACACCAAGUGCGACCUCUUAUUAAAACAAUAAACACUAAAAAUUAAAAAUUAAAAACAAAAAUACUUAUCAAACGGACCUAAGAAAUUGAUUUUGAUCAAAAGUUGAAACUUUUUAUUGACAAUAAGAAAAAGAUUUCUCACCGUAUUUUGAGAUAGCACGUGAUGAACAUCUUCAUAACUACACAACCUACUUCGUCUCCCAGGCUCUUUGAUACAUUCUUGGCGGACGAUUUCCCGACCCAUUUCCUCUAAUGAAUCAUGCAUCUCCAGUUCCCCCUCCCCUGAGACAGUUAUGAGAGCUCGAUCGAUUAGAACUCUUAUUCCAGUAUAAGGAUGGAAACCACAAACUUCCAGAAUUCGGGUUGCACAGUCUUUCUUCAUCCCUUUAAAGAAACAUGCAAUGUCCAGAAAGAUGUCCUUCUCCUUGUCAUCUAGUCCAUCGAAGCUUGAUUUAAGCACAUCAUGAAUUCCCCUUCGUGGGAUUUUCCUUAUUUUUUCUAACUCAUCUUCCCACUCGCGUAUAGUUUUGUUACCAAGAAAAGCUCCCAAGACUUUGUGUGCUAAAGGCAGGCCUUGAGCAUAUUCUACGACAUGAUUCGAGAGAUCAUCAUAAUCUCUGGUAGGUUGGUUUUUUCUGAAGGCGUGCCGCCUAAAGAGUUUCAGAGCUCCAGAAUCACUCAAAAUCUUGGGAUUAUAUAUCACAUCAGCUAUGCUUAGUAAUUGCGAAUCUCUAGUUGUUAUAAUAAUUCUGCUUCCACAACCAAAGGAAUGUGGCUCUUCAAGUAAAGCUUCAAUUUGUUCUAAUUCGUCCACAUCAUCAACAACAAUAAGAACUUUUCUCUGACCAAGGCUUUUUAACAUCACCUGAAAACCAUUUUUUGAUAUGUCAGAACUCCCCACCUUGUUGUUCGAGAUAUUCGAUAGAAGUUGUGCCUGCAUAUGUAGUUUGCCAUGCUUCAUGAAACCUUCCUUGAAAUUUUCAAGAAAGCAACAAGCUUCAAAUCGAUUAGCGAUUUUAUCAUAAACAGCUCUAGCGAUGGUUGUUUUGCCUAAACCACCCAUACCCCAUAUUCCAACAACGCGAACAUUAUUCGUUUCACCUCCGGGAGGAUAUAAUAAUAAAUGCAUUUCAUGCAUGUGAGAAUCCAUGUCAACCAAGCCAUUAUCUUUGCUUGAUGUUGAUGAGAUGUCGAUCAAUUUCCUAUAAACAUCUUCUACAAUUUCCUCAAUAAGCACCGCAUCAUUUCUGUCAAAUUUAAAAAACAAUAUAAUAACACCACCAAAUGAUAAUUAAUGGGUCUUUUUCAUCUGUUAGUUUUCAAAAAAAUAGAAAUUAAAACUAAAAACUAAAUAUUUAUCAAAUUACCCCUAAACGUUACAAAAAUCCCAAAAAUUACUAGGAAACUAAAACAAAUUAGAAUUUACUCAUAGUUUCGCGAAUCCCAGCCGGCUAAACUGGUGGCAGUUGUAAGAGCGGAUCUCCAGCUCCGAACCUCCUCUAUUUCGGCGUUAGAAUCGAUAUCGUGCUGAGCAAAAGCUUCCGCGAAACUUUUCUUGAGUUUACGAACAUCAGACGGAUCAACUUCAUAGAAAAUGGGGAGUACAAUCUGGUUAUUGGUACCUUGCAUUCCAGGAUUUGCACGAGUUCCUUCAAGCACCAAGUGGAAGAAGCAUAGUUUUGAGAGAAAACUACAAUCGAAAGCCUCGACUCUUGAAUCGCUGUCAGGAGCUCGGAAAGGUGGUCGCCUUUUCUGAACUUUUCGGCAUCAAUGAAGGCGUUGAUUGGUUUCUUAGCCAGAGCGUUGUAGAGAUGGCUGACGAAGCCCCUGCGAGUGUCUUCCCCUCUGAAAUUGAUGAACACAUCGUAUUUCCAACCAAAGCCAGAAGAAGAAAAAGAAGAAGAAGAAGAAGCAACCAUUUAUCGAUCGCACCUGGUCACCGAUGAUCGAGCAGUUAUGACUAAGAGAAUUGUAAGUACAUAAAUACUCAAUGAGUCAAUGCAAAAGGGAAAAAGCGAAAAGGAAAUGGUUGUGAUAUCCAUACUUUAUUUUACUUUUUUAUACAUUUUUGAUAAUUUAUUUUUGUUAAUUUUUUUUAAUUCAUCUAGUUUUACAUUUAAAAAUUAAAAAAAUUUAUGAGAAGUUGAAAUGUGUGAAUAUCACGUCCAAAGGAAAAUUAUGCUUUUAUGUGUUUUCAGAUCUUCUUCAGGGAAAUUUCGAUGGGAAUGGAAUCUGCAUGCUUUUGAUUUUUAACCCAAGAAAAUGCCAAGAAAGGGGUCAAAGUAGUAAAUUUAAUCUACACUUGCCUACCCAACCACCUCUUAAUUUAAUAUAUUUAAUCGAGAAAAGUAGGUUAGAGGAAGGAUGGUAUCUCCUUUUCCUCUCUCAGUCUUCCAGCAUGCCAUUUAAUCAUGAUUAAGGCUAAAGCUUAAUUAUAGAUCUUGAUUGGAUUAUUAGUUUCCGUUGUAAUAUGGUGGUUAGAAGAUUAAAAAAAUUAUGAUUUAUGCUUUCAUAUGCUAACAAUUAAUGAAGAAUUAACAAAAUUUUAAAUUUUAAAUCUAAAUCCUAACAUAUUUUACCAUAGAAGCUUAAAUCUUAAUUUACUUAUCACAUGGAUUAUUUUAUAACUACCUUACUAUUAAUUCAAUUAAACCUAUUAUUUCUACGAAAACUAAAGAAAAGUUAAAAAAAAACUUUAGUUUUAAUGAAAAAAGAAAAAUGAAUGUGUAGUAAAUAAUACCAGAAAAAAAUAAAAAAAAUAAUUUUUUAUUAAAAAUAAACAGUAUAAAAAAUGUUGCAUUAAUACUCUCAUUAUUUAUUUACAAAUACGUGACUAAAUCACAAAGUGUUAGAAUGAAAGGGAGCGCUCAAAACGAUGAAAAGCAGGAGCACAGAAAGCUAUCUCCGUUUCUUUGUUGAGCGGACAACUGUUUAUUUGUCGUUCUUUUGGCAGAUAGCUCCUAAUGGCCCAUUUCCACAGCUGGUUAUAGGAUUCUGUUGCUAUAUAAGAAGUGUUUUGUUGUAAUUCAAUAUCGAUGGAAAUUCAACAGGAUCUUUUUCAAAAUUUUGUGAGGAUUUUGGGGUGUUCGUGAAUCUUGUUCAUCGUAUAUUGUGUAGUUGUUUUUUAUCGAAUAUUAUUUUUGUUUAAUUUUAAAUAAAGUAAUUUAAAAUAAUUUUUUACUGCAAGAUGUAUGAUGAACGUAUAUGAUUCACAGAUCUCCAAAAUCCUCACAAAGAAAAUCCAAAAAUGAUCUGAAUUCAAUGGAGAUAAGUUAAUUUUGAAUCAAAUAACAUUAGGAAAGAAAAAUAACAUUAGACGCCAGUCGGGCGAAGGAUUGGAGCCUAGUGCCUAGGCAGCUAGGCGAAGCCUGGGCGAUUAGGCGGCUAGGCGGCCUAGACGGUUUUAAAUAAUUUAUUGUAUAUUUGUAUAAAAUUAUUAUUAGCACUUCAAAAAUCUCAUUUUAUACUCCAAAUUUUCUAUAUUAAAAAAGAAAAAUACACUUAUGAUGAGUGUAGAAUGAGAUUUUUGAAAUGCCAAUACACUUCUCUAUUUUUAUUAUAUAAAUCAGUUGGACUUAAAAAAGAAAAUAAAGAAAAUAAAACAUUGUUCAAAAACUAAAACUCUAUAAAUAUAAAAAGUCAGGUCUUGAUUUAUCAUUACAAUUGAUAAAUAAAGGAGUGUGCUAUCUACACAACUUUUUUUACUUCUCACUCCUAAAUAAAAAAAUGAUGUGUGGAUAUCACAUCCCUAAAUAAAAUAUAUAAAUAUAGAUAGUUGGAGGAUAUCCAAGAGACAUUCUUUGGAGGAUUUUAGAGAAGAAAGGAGUACGAGUAUAUAUCCAAGCUAUAAAGGAUAUGUAUGAAGGAGCAAAGACUGCCGUAAGAACUCAUGAAGGACAAACCGAAAGCUUUCCCAUAACUGUAGGAUUACAUCAAGGCUCAUCCUUAAGUCCUUACCUUUUUGCGUUGGUAAUGGAUAAGUUAACAGGACAUAUUCAAGAUGAUAUUCCUUGGUGUAUGCUUUUCGCAGACGAUAUAGUGUUGAUAGAUGAAACUCAGGAAGGGGUAAAUGCAAAGCUUAACCUUUGAAGAGAAGUGUUGGAAUCUAAAGGUCUUCGCCUAAGCCGAUCAAAGACAGAAUAUAUGGAGUGCAAGUUCAGUACAAAUGAAGGCCAAAACGAGUUAGGGGUGAGGAUCGGAGAUCAAGAAAUACCAAAGAGCAACCGUUUUCGUUACCUAUGAUCUAUCUUGCAAAAGAACGGAGAAUUAGAUGGAGAUCUCAAUCAUAGAAUGCAAGCUGGAUGGGUGAAGUGGAAGAGUGCAUCCGGCGUGUUGUGUGACCGCCGUAUGCCACUGAAGCUCAAGGGAAAAUUUUAUAGGACGGCAAUAAGGCCGGUGAUGCUGUAUGGCACAGAAUGUUGGGCAGUGAAGCAUCAACACGUACACAAAAUGGGUGUAGCGAAGAUGAGGAUGCUUCGUUGGAUGUGUGGGCACACGAGAAAGGAUAAGAUUAGGAAUGAGGAUCCGGGGUAAAGUAGGAGUAGCCGAAAUUGAAGGAAAGAUGAGAGAAAAUCGGUUACGGUGGUUUGGACAUGUGCAAAGAAGGCCUACUGACGCUCCGAUUAGAAUAUGCGACUAUGGGACAGAGGUUCAGGGCCGAAGGGGUAGAGGAAGACCUAGGAAAACUUUGGAAGAGACUUUAGGAAAAGACUUAGAGUACUUGGAUCUAACGAAGGACAUGACACAGGACCGAGCACAAUGGCGUUCUAAGAUUCAUAUAGCCGAUCCCACUCAGUGACUUGGAUUUUCCAAGUCUCCAACCGAGAAGUUUUCCUCACUCGGGAAAUUAAGGGAACACUACCUCAACCUACAUGCUCCACUCACAAAGCUUCAACAAAAGAAAAUUCAAAGAACUUAGCGAAGAAUGAUUUGGUGUAUUUAACACAAACGUUGAAAUGAAGGAAAGCUUAUUUAUUGAUAUUCCCGAUAAGCUACAAAUAUGUACAUAUACAUAAGGUUGCUUAGGAGAAGUCUCAGCAGCCGGUAGAGCCCCAGAAAGAGAAGGCACCAGAGGGGGAUCAUUCGGAGCCUCAGAACUGGACAGAACCCUAGAAGGAUGAGGCAUCAAAGGUUGAUCAUUUGGAGCUUCAUUACGCGGUACAGCCCCAGAAGAUGAAGGCAAUAAAUGCCUUUGGAACAAACCCACAAAUCUCUGAUGAUCAAGUAAAACCUGACCAUCAGAUUCCUUCAUCUGGUCAAGCUUCCUCUUCAUGUUUGUAGCAUAGUCAUGUGCGAGCCGGUGCAACUGUUUAUUCUCAUGCUUGAGCCAUCUAAUCUCCUGUUUGAGACUCAUCACUUUAGCCGCCAAUGAUUCAACUUGGCGGGUUCAAGCAAAUAGGCGUUGGGCCGUAUUAGACACAGAACCUGCACACUGAACACUGAGAGCCAGCGAAUCCUUAACAGCUAACUCAUCAGACCGUUUGGAAAGUAGUUUGUUAUCUUUGGGAGUGAGAAGGUUCCUGGCCAUCACCGCAGCGGUCAUAUCAUUCUUCAUUACGAAAUCCCCAACGGUAAGAGGACCAGUAGGGGAGACGAAGGAUGUGCGCCAUAUGUUGUCUGGAGAAGGCGGGGCUGCCUCUUUAACAAGGUUCAAGUCAAAACGACGGUCGGAGGGGCCAGACAUUUUCAAAGGUGUUGAAGAGAGAAGAUGUCGGAUAAAUCAAGAUCUUAGAAGUGCAAGAAUGGAGCUUCUACUGGUGGAUUUCAAGUGUGCUUUAGAACUUAAUGACAGCCCCUAUAAAAAUCUGCACUCGACGGAGCUUCAGAAAUCGAAGAGGCGUUUGCUUUCUCAAAAGUUGGGCUGCUCAAAGACCACGAAGGCCAAUCUCAGAAAUCGAAGAGGCGCUCGCUUUCUCAAAAGCUGGGCUACUCAGAGACCACGAGGGCCGAUCUCAGAAAUCGAAGAGGCACCUACUUUUCCAGCCUUGUCAGCACCUGUCACACGCACACUCAGCUUUGCGGAAAUUAUGGGCAUUCUGUCGAAGACUUCUGGUGAAGUAAAAAGCACAUGAAUCUUACUGUUCAAUCACCCACUUCCCACACGCAACAAUAGCUCAUGGGUACCACAGAUAACUUUGCCAAAGUUGAGCACGUGAAGCUUGCAGCUCCUACUACAUCGCUCUGACCAAGAAGGGUAAAAGAAUAGCAAAGAAACAGCACUAACAAAGUUUAGACCCAUAAAUUUUGAAGGUCUAGCUACCAUAUUAUUACCCACAAGGGUAAAGGAACAGUACCACUGCUGGAUAAUUGGAAAGUCCCUGUGUGUCAACCUCUGUGCUUCGUGGCAAGGUAGACUAGCAAACAUGCCCAACCUUUACUCACAUUCGAGAAAACACUCCCAAUAAGAUUGCUUGCUCCAAAAUCGAAGAGGCACCGUCCUCCGAAUCUCGAGAGCCAGACUCCCAACAUGAAUACUUUCUCAAAAAAAUCGAAGAGAGGGUAAAGGAACAGUACCAUUGCUGGAUAAUUGGAAAGUCCCUGUGUGUCAACCUCUGUGCUUCGUGGCAAGGUAGACUAGCAAACAUGCCCAACCUUUACUCACAUUCGAGAAAACACUCCCAACAAGAUUGCUUGCUCCAAAAUCGAAGAGGCACCGCCCUCCGAAUCUCGAGAGCCAGACUCCCAACAUGAUUACUUUCUCAAAAAUCGAAGAGACACUGCUAUCCCGAAUCUCGAGAGCCAGACCCCCAGCAUGAUUGCUUUCUCAAAAAUCGAAGAGGCAUCGUUCUCCGAAUCAAUCGAAGAGGCGCUCGCUUUCUCAAAAGCUGGUGGGCUGCUCAGAGACCACGAGGGCCGAUCUCAGAAAUCGAAGAGGCACCUACUUUUCUAGCCUUGUCAGCACCUGUCACACGCACACUCAGCUUUGCAGAAAUUAUGGGCAUUCUGUCGAAGACUUCUGGUGAAGUAGAAAGCACAUGAAUCUUACUGUUCAAUCACCCACUUCCCCACACGCAACAAUAGCUCAUGGGUACCACAGAUAACUUUGCCAAAGUUCUCUGCCAAAGUUGAGCACGUGAAGCUUGCAGCUCCCACUACAUCGCUCUGACCAAGAAAGGUAAAAGAAUAGCAAAGAAACAGCACUAACAAAGUUUAGACACAUAAAUUUUGAAGGUCUAGCUACCAUAUUAUUACCCACAAGGGUAAAGGAACAGUACCACUGCUGGAUAAUUGGAAAGUCCCUGUGUGUCAACCUCUGUGCUUCGUGGCAAGGUAGACUAGCAAACAUGCCCAACCUUUACUCACAUUCGAGAAAAACACUCCCAACAAGAUUGCUUGCUCCAAAAUCGAAGAGGCACCGUCCUCCGAAUCUCGAGAGCCAGACUCCCAACAUGACUACUUUCUCAAAAAUCGAAAAGGGUAAAGGAACAGUACCAUUGCUGGAUAAUUGGAAAGUCCCUGUGUGUCAACCUUUGUGCUUCGUGGCAAGGUAGACUAGCAAACAUGCCCAACCUUUACUCACAUUCGAGAAAACACUCCCAACAAGAUUGCUUGCUCCAAAAUCGAAGAGGCACCGCCCUCCGAAUCUCGAGAGCCAGACUCCCAACAUGAUUACUUUCUCAAAAAUCGAAGAGACACCGCUCUCCGAAUCUCGAGAGCCAGACCCCCAGCAUGAUUGCUUUCUAAAAAAUCGAAGAGGCAUCAUUCUCCGAAUCUCGAGAGCCAGAUCAUCAAUAGGAUUGCUUGUUCGAAAACCGAAGAGGCACCACUUUCCCAACUUCAAGAGCCGGAUCUCCUUGGAUAAAGCUUGUCUAUAAUCUUCACACGGAACAUCAGCUUUCCAGAUACCACAGACCACUUUUUCAAAGUGCUCUGACAGAGUUAAAACAUGUGAAGCUGGCAGGUCCCACUACCGUGCUAUGACUAAGCAGGGUAAAGGAAUAGCAUUACUACUUGUUGUUAGGGAGACUCCUAUAUAUGUCGACCUCCAUCCCCAACGACAGGCAGACCUGCAAAAAUGCUCAACCCUUCCUCAUAUCUGAGAGGCCACUCCCAACGAAGCCUUUCAAAAUAUUCAGCUUUCUUCCCCCUCCCCGAUAAUACCUCUGCAAACAAGCUAUACUAGAGCAAGAAUAUCUCAUAUCAUCAGGGUUAAAAGCAAGAGUAUCCCAUAUCAUGCUUUUUCCCUGUCUUUUCCUUUGGCCUUGUUUUUACCUGCAAGACAAGGAGAAAGAGAGCAAUCAGUCAGCACUUGGAAUCAAGCUUCCAGCCAGGAACUGACUGCCUGGAACCCCUUACCUGAUUACUUACCUGGCAUUGCUCUCGAGUACUCAUCUUCAACAUCUUAUGUUUCCAGGGAAGAUUACCGCAUCUGCCUUGAGGAACAGAUAGGGCAAGUGCGAAGGAUACAAGGAAGCAUGUGGAGACAAGCGUAACAGCACACGUGCCGAUACAUCCAUUACUCUGUCAAAAGCAAAAGUAUCCCAUAUCAGCAGGGUCGAACGUACUCUAGAUUUGAUGGACUUGUUUUGACCCUCAAAUUCUUCAGUCGGCCUUAUACUCUGGAGGAAACCAGAAAACCCUCCAGCUCAGUUCAAGAAUAAGCCUGUGGAAAGUUACUUCUUCAAAAGCAAAAGUAUCUCAUAUCAUCUCUUCUCAUUUUUCUUCUCUUUAUCCUUCAUGCUGCCUGCAAGAUGGGGAGAAGGUGAACAAUCAGCCGGAGCUCUGAUUGCUUACCUUGUCUGUCACCUCUUUCAGCAGAUCCCCUAGCUCGGCGACUUGGGGGACUCCUACUACAUGGUUUGUAUCGCGCUUGACCAAGCCUGAAACUACAAGUAAGCUUCAAGUGAAAUUGAUACAUUACCUUGUGCAUCUCCACCAGUUAAAGAUACCACCCCUGGAUGGAGGAAGAGUACUUCCAGAGAAGAUGCCACAUCUACCUAUGAGACAGAUAAGGCAAGUCAAGACGAUACCACACUCCGAUACUUAGAAGUUUCGUGAUUACGAGAUCAUUCUCCCACAAUAUUUCCUAAUGUCAUUUGUACUAAAUCAUUCACUUGUACUCACUAAAGGAGAGCUUGAACCUAUGUACUUGUGUAAACCCUUCACAAUUAAUGAGAACUCCUCUAUUCCGUGGACGUAGCCAAUCUGGGUGAACCACGUACAUCUUGUGUUUGCUUUCCUAUCUCUAUCCAUUUAUAUACUUAUCCACACUAAUGACCGGAGCAAUCUAGCGAAGAUCACAAAAAGCAACCGUUUUCGCUACCUAGGAUCUAUCUUGCAAGAGAACGGAGAAUUAGAUGGAGAUCUCAACCAUAGAAUACAAGCUGGAUGGAUGAAGUGUAAGAGUGCAUCCGGCGUGUUGUGCGACCGUCGUAGGCCACUGAAGCUCAAGGCAAAAUUUUAUAGGACGGCAAUAAGGCCAGCGAUGUUGUAUGGCACAGAAUGUUGGGCGGUGAAGCAUCAACACGUACACAAAAUAGGUGUAGCGGAGAUGAGGAUGCUUCGUGGGAUGUGUGGGCACACGAGAAAGGAUAAGAUUGGGAAUGAGGAUAUCCGAGGUAAAGUAGGAGUAGCCGAAAUUGAAGUAAAGAUGAGAGAAAAUCGGUUCCGGUGAUUUGGACAUGUGCAAAGAAGGCCUACUGACGCUCCGGUUCGAAGAUGUGACUACGGAACAGAGGUUCAGGGCCGAAGGGGUAGAGGAAGACCUAGGAAAACUUUGGAAGAGACUCUAAGAAAAUACUUAGAGUACUUGGAUCUAACGGAGAACAUAACACAAAACCGAGCGCAAUGGCGUUCUAGGAUUCAUAUAGCCGACCCCACUUAGUUGGAAAAUGCUUUGUUGUUGUUGUUGUUGUUGUAUAGAUAGUUGGCGCUUUGUAGUGGGCGGUAAGUUCUAGUUUUACCAUUAAAAAAUAUACACUGUCAAACUAGUGUGGGUUCUAUCAAUUUUUUUAGUAUUUUAUUUAUUUUUUCACUCUGUCUCCGUGCCAUGGUCUUGAUAUUAUCACUCCUUUAAUAUUUUAUUCAUAUUUUAUUCUACUUGAUUUAUGAUGGUGUGUUUUUUUGACCAAGGUUUAUAAUGGUGUUUGUUCUAUAAGUCGGCAUAUUUGCCAACCGCAAUCGAUACUGUCGUUCUCAAACACAAAGCAAUAGUUUGCUACCGAAAACAACCAAAGUGUGACAAAGGGAACCGUCUUACACCUAACCUGUUUUUCCCUCAUCAAAUGAGCGCGUUGAUCUGCAGGUAUUUUCUGCCAUCUCAAAACCUGUUACAAAGAAAUAUAACGUUGAUGUCGAGCUGGAUAGCAUAUUAUACCAAUUAUGUGUACAAACCUAUUGAAAUAAAGUAGCUGUAGUUGCAUAUUACGACAGAUAUUAACGAAAACAAAAGAAGGCUCGCCUAUUCAAGAUCCUAAAUCCCGUGAUUCUUUUGUUUUUAGUUUCAGAAAUUUUCAGAGCACAAACUGGAAAGUACCAAGAUACUUACAUAUUGGGCAUAAUGAAAUGCAUCUUCAUCUUUCAAGCAAGAUUUGAGUGAGCGCAAACCGUCCUGAGAGUUACAUAAGUCAAUCAGUAAUAUAAAAACGUAUACGCAUCACAUCCAAACACAAGUAUUCAAACACCAACAACUUCUUCAUGCGGUGAGGCAUGUUAAAAAAUAGGGAAGAACAGUUAUUGAAUAGGAAGUUAAAGGACUAAAUUUAUGACCUUGUGUUUGUAGUUCUUGGCUCGUAUGCGUUCAUCUAUUACAAAACCAAUCUGUAACAGGUACAACAGAAAAUAUAAGCAGUAGUCAGAACAUUAAUCUUCGGCAUUCACAUUGCCACCAAUCCAAAGUUAAAAGUCUGAAGGCAAAACAGUAUGAUUCUUAUCUCUCAAACAAAAAUGAAACUAUACCCCGGUCUCAGACAUAAAUGAAAUAAGUUCUACUGCCUCAACUGAGUACUGUGAUUAUAUAUAAAUCCAAUUCACCUUGUCAAGUAAUCUCUUAGGAUCUUGAAAUGCUUCCUUCUUAGCCCAGUCAUUAAAUACAUGCGAGAAAAUUGAUCUCUCAUCCACACUGAAUCUAUUGCACAGUGACAGAAGAAUAAAGUUAAACAUGAACAUAACCAACCAAAAAUGCUAGUUAUAAUAGUACACCCAUAAUUGCAAGCAAAACCUUUUUAAGAAGCCAUUUCCAUGGUUUUCCUCCCCAAAUUCCAUCAAUUCUGCAGAGGCAACGUCAAAUUUACUAUGAUGGAGAUCAUUUUGCACUGUAAUAACUUCAGAAGGUAGGAGAUUUGGUUUCAGAUCAUCUGUUGACGGAGUAGUUUCUUUUGAAGUGUCAUGAUGCUUUGAUUGCAAGCCUUCUGUACUUACGUCAGCCUACAAAACAAAAAUUGCAUUCAUCCACACUAGACUUAAUAAGAUUAGAAACACUUCAGAUUCUUCAUUAUUUGUAUUUUUGACUAAACAGCAGAACAACUGAGGAUAAUGAACAGUAAUACACACCUGGACUUCUCGUAGAUGAUUUGGAAUUUCUUUCAGAAAUCGCGAAGGUUGAAGCAUCUGAAGGAGUCACCUUCUCAGUCAGAGCAACAACAACAAAUAAGGAGGACAGGAAUUCAAGCUAAAACGAACCUGCCAACUGGAAUCCAUCGUAACAUAAAGAAUGAAAAGCUUUUUUCGAGCACGAGUCAUUGCAACAUAUAAUAGGCGUCUCUCCUCCUAUGAUUAGAGUGGGAUUAUUGAGUUAUUGAUCAAAAGAAAAAAGAGUGGGAUUAUUGUGAAAAACAUGUCAAAGCUCUGCAUAUAACUGAAAAAUGUUGAACAAUUUACCACACACCUCAAUGGAGGUCCCAUUUUCUUUUGCAACCCCAUUGAAUUCAUGCAACAACGGGAUCUCAGAUUCAUUUACCUGUGUUAUUGGCAUGAGCAUUAAAGCAAGCUAAGAUGAUUUGAAGAGGUUGAUAUCGUCAUGAAUAUAGUAGAACAGAGAAUACCAAUUUCAAGCCAUCAAUUAGGUAUAGCAUUGGCAUGUUUAAUCCGUAAAAUCUAAUGACAGAACACCUCAACUCUACACAUAAAUAAAUAAACAACCUGAAAAAUAUUACAGCCACAUGUUAAGGCAAAUACCUUAAUUAUGAAAACUAUAUCCCACUCUAAACCUUUUGACUGCAAGAGAAUGAAAAAGAAAGACAGUAAGCCAAGAAUGUUUUGUAGAACUCCAAAGGAAGUCCAAUAGGGAAAUCAUCGCAAGUAUAAGAGUUAGCGAGGUUCGCAUAAGAGGAUAUCAAAAAGAUCUAGAACCUGAUGAAUAGUAGUCAAAGUGACAGAACUUUGGUUGUCAUGUCUUCGGGAGUGAAAAUUUUCACUCUCCUGCUCAGAUAUGUAGUCGAUGAAAGCUUUGAGUAAAUUAACGCAGCCUUUUUCUUCUGCUACGACUUCUCUCUCUCCCCUUUUCCCGCAACAAAAUGAGUUGAUAAGAAAUCAGAUACGUCGUCUAGUAGGUACUGAAGAACCUGCAAUGAGAAUAAUCGCAUCACAGCAACAGGGUUGGACCAAGAUUUAAGUGACAACAAUGAUUAACUAACUAAAAUAGAGAAAUUAUUCAUUUAAGACCUUGUUGACGGAAAAAAGGGUUUUCCAAGCAGCGGGUCAUUUAAGCUUAUUGUAUAAAUGACAAUCAUCACAAACGGCAAACUUACAGAUCUCACGUCAUUGUCUUCAUUCAGCAGUUUUCCUCCAUCUACAUCAACGACUGCACGUUGCUCAAGACGGUACUUCUAAAAAUUGAAAGUCAACAACAACAACAACAACAACAAAGCCUUUUCCCACUAAGUGGGGUCGGCUAUAUGAAUCCUAGAACGCCAUUGCGCUCGGUUUUGUGUCAUGUCCUCCGUUAGAUCCAAGUACUCUAAGUCUUUUCUUAGAGUCUCUUCCAAAGUUGUCCUAGGUCUUCCUCUACCCCUUCGGCCCUGAACCUCUGUCCCGUAGUCACAUCUUCGAACCGGAGCGUUAGUCGGCCUUCUUUGCACAUGUUCAAAAUCACCGGAGCCGAUUUUCUCUCAUAUUUCCUACAAUUUCGGCUACUCCUACUUUACCUCGGAUAUCCUCAUUCCCAAUCUUAUCCUUUCUCGUGUGCCCACACAUCCCACGAAGCAUCCUCAUCUCCGCUACACCCAUUUUGUGUACGUGUUGAUGCUUCACCACCCAACAUUCUGUGCCAUACAACAUCGCUAGCCUUAUUGCCGUCCUAUAAAAUUUUCCCUUGAGCUUCAGUGGCCUACGACGGUCACACAACACGCCGGAUGCACUCUUUCCAUCCAGCUCGUAUUCUAUGGUUGAGAUCUCCAUCUAAUUCUCCGUUCUCUUGCAAGAUAGAUCCUAGGUAGCGAAAACGAUCGCUUUUUGUGAUCUUCGCUAGAUUGCUCCGGUCAUUAGUGUGGAUAAGUAUAUAAAUGGAUAGAGAUAGGAAAGCAAACACAAGAUGUACGUGGUUCACCCAGAUUGGCUACGUCCACGGAAUAGAAGAGUUCUCAUUAAUUGUGAAGGGUUUACACAAGUACAUAGGUUCAAGCUUUCAUUUAGUGAGUACAAGUGAAUGAUUUAGUACAAAUGACAUUAGGAAAUAUUGUGGGAGAAUGAUCUCGUAAUCACGAAACUUCUAAGUAUCGGAGUGUGGUGUCGUCUUGACUUGCCUUAUCUGUCUCAUAGGUAGAUGUGGCAUCUUCUCUGGAAGUACUCUUCCUCAAACGAUAAAUUAUUACGAAGCAUUGAAUAUAAGCAUGAAACGAAGAAAAUGUUAUGGAAUGGUGAUCCUCAUCCUCAAAGAUGAUUAAAAGCAAUUUGAUUCAAAAAUGACAUAUCAACUCUGGAGAAAUGGAAGACAAACCUGUGGUACCAUAUUCGCAACUGAGGUUAUGACAGCUGAAAUCGAUUGUUCCUGUGUGCAUUGAUAAGUGAGACUACCAUAGAGAUUCACAACUAAAUAAAGACAGGUAUUCCACAGAACAACCUUUACCUCUUUGGAAACACAGAUCUAACAAAAACUAUAACAUUUUGGAUUAAUAUUGACGAAUCAAGAAUAAUGCAAGGGAGCAAGAGAUACUCUUCCUUCUAAUAACAAGGAGGCGUGAAAAGUAUACAGAGUUCCAACAAUUAGAGAACUAAAAUCAAACUAAAAAAAUCACCAAAGUAGACAGAAUCUCACUUCGCCAAAAAUUUGAAAAUAUAUCCUUUUUAUCCAUUGAGAUUCAUGAACUACUACUACUACUACAUCAUGCCAAUAAGCAAUGCGUAAGAGGUGCUACAAUUUACCGAAUAUAUUUACCCUGAGAACAAGUUUUGAAAUCAUCUCUAGUGUUAACAGCACCUUGCGUCCUUGGGUAAGCUGAGUCCUAUUAUCAAGUAAAGAGACCAAUCAGUACAUAUCCAAAAGAUCUUAAAUGCUUGUAAUACCAAAUAAGAAAGAAACAUGAGUAUAUCUUGAAUUAACCAUGUAAAAAUGUAAUGUUAAAGCAUCUUGUCAUACAGACCUCUUCAAGGUACCAGAAAUUUUUGCACUAAAGAUGUCACAAGCAGCUGAUAUGAAGCUGCAUUUUCUGUGAGUUGAAAUUUUGUCAAUAUAAUCGAUCACCUGAAGAGAGAGAGAGAGAAAAAGACAGUGAUAUCCAGAGAUGUGAGCCUAAAUGCUGAGUGUGUAAAAAAAGAAGAUUAAAUGGAUAGCAAGAAUAUACAACUUUAAUGCUGAAAAGAACAUUGAAUAUGAUGCUCAUUCAUCAUUCCCAUUGAACGUGUACCUUCUUCUUUUCCUCUUUCUCAAAAGCAAGUAGAGCCUUGAAGACUUGCCUAUAUGAUCCAUCAUCACAACCAGGCAAAGUUGUUUUAAUCAUAGCAACAAUGGCUCUAACUACCUGCCAUAAGAAACAUGCUACAUCAACAAGAUCACAGAGUGUACCAGAAACCGUAAUGUAGCAAAAUCUUGGAUAAAAUAGCUGACCAAAAGGGAAUGGAAAAGCAAGCACGAAAAACAAUGAAAAGGACCAGUGAUGCCAAAAUUCUGGUGGAAAAGGUGAAAAGCUUCUGCCUAUUACAAUUUUUGUAUGCAUUCUUUAUAACUUAAGUUCUACUAGCAAAAACCACCUUAUGCAAAAUAAUAUUGGAAAAAUUAGAUACAUACAACUGAGAAGAUAGGUUUUCAUAAUCUGGACAAGUGCUAACUACCUUCUUCCUAUAAACUGCCACUCCAUGAACAUUAAAUGGUAUUUUCCUUUCACGCAAGGCUGUCUGGAAGACUUUUCCUGAUACCUGUAGCAUAAAAUACAAAAGAAAAUGUGACCAAAAUGUCUUAUAUGAUUCACCUCAUUCACAUUAGCACUAAGGCAAGUAAGCUUGACCUGCCUCCGGUAAAGGAUUGCUAUAUUUCCAUAGGAGCACCCUGCUUCUGACCGUUUCGAUGCAGUCUCCAGGAUCUUGUCGACAACAAAGGCGCAUUGUGCAUCCUCAUUGUGACUUUCCUUGAUAAUUACCUACAUUUUGCCAGUAAAACCAGUGUCACUAACUAAAAGGACUGAAAAAUGACAUCAAAUUGUACUUGUUGGAGCAAGGAAAGAUUAAGUACCUUAGACCCAGAAGAAUUGUCCGUGUCAACAUUCUUUAGUUGGCAUCGCUUCUUAUUGUUUUUUAUAACAGAAGAUGCAGCUUCCACAAUAUAGCGUGUGGACCUAAAGUUUUUAUUAAGCCUAAUCUGAACCAUAAAGUUAUGUCAAAUCCCACAGAAACCCAUAAAAUAAAACUUACUUUCCUGUAAUUGUACAAUAUAUUUGUUCUAUACUAUAUAUAAUGAAAAAAGACACUGUGAAUGACAUAAGAUAACAUAGCAGUCAAGUGCGAAGCGAACCUCUUUGUAAUUUGAAAAAUCUUUACGAAAAGAAUCAAAUCCAGAAAUGUCCGCCCCAUUGAAACUGAAAAUGGACUGCAGCAGGAUAUAUGUUAUUUGAUUUAGAACAGAUAAGGGCUGGAUUAGAAUGAGCUGAGAGAGAGAGAGAGAGAGGGAGAGAGGGAGAGAGGGAGCAAUAACAUUGGAUUUCCAUAAUAAAUCAACAACAUGCCUGAUCAUCAUCACCAACAAUGGUUAUGUGGUUAUGAGAGGCGAGAAUCCGCAAAAGACUAUAUUGCAUAGCACUUGUGUCUUGAAACUCGUCUAUUACAAUAGCUUUCCAUGACUCCUGGCACUCCUUCAACACUAAUUAAGAGAACACCAUGUAUCAACAUUUAGCAUUACUUGUAAAACUAGAUAAAUCAAUGAAAUAUACUUAGAUGAUAGAGACCUUCAGGAAAAUCACUUAGCAGCUUCACAGAGCAGCUAAUUAAGUCGUGGUAGUCCAAAGCGUUGCACGAUUUCAAGAUAUCAUUGUAAUUCCUAAGAAUUUCACCCUGAUUCAGAUUGAGAGCUAAAACUCAUAAGCAAUAGUUUCAAAGAACUGAAAUGAUAUCUGAAAUUCUAGUUCUGAGCGUACUCCUGUCACAUCACCCAUUCUUCGGCAUUCAGCGGGAGUCUUUCCAGAAGCUUUUGCCUGAAACAUAAAUAAAUUUACUGCCUAAUGCCACAUAUUGUAAGACACACCAUUGUAUUGGUCAUUCUAGCUUGAUUGUAGCUAAUAUUUUUUAAAUCGAAUGAUUAGAGUUCUUAAUCCACAAUAAUCUGAACAUUAAAUUUGGUAUUCAAGACUAACCUGUGUCACAAACUUCAGCCAUUUCUUUGAUGCAUCCUUAAAAUGAUGUGGAGAUGUUACGCCGUCAGACUCUUCCCCAUCUAUAGCAACAUUAAGAUUCGUUUUACUCUUUUCAUCUUCUGAUAACCGCACAGCUUCAAUGAUUGCUCUUCUCUGUUGCCCAUGUCCAUAUAUCAAAAAUUCUGGUCUGCGCUUGAGUCUAAAACACAAGCCAACAUAACAGACUCAGCUAUACCACCAAAUGUAUGGUGUUCAAAAUCAAGGGAGGUGAAUCAAUAGCUUACUUCUCAGCAUGUGAUCGGCAAAGUUGCAAUGAAAAUGAAUGAAAUGUACUGAUUGUUAGUAGUUUUGCCGUUGCUUUCCCAGUCACAGAUCCAAUUCGAUCUCUCAUCUCGGAAGCUGCUGCUGUAGUGAAAGUCAUUGCUAGAAUGUUCGACGUGCUAAUGCCCUAAGAACACAAAAAAAAAAAAAAAACGAAUAAGAUUUCGAUCAUAAACAAGAAAUGUAGAGAAACACACAAUUACGAAAGAAAAAGUUAGAGGGAAAGUAGCAACACCUCAUUGAGCAGCAUUAGAACGCGCCCAACUAUCGUUGAAGUCUUUCCACUUCCAGGGCCGGCAACAAUCAUCAAAGGUACUGAAAUAUAGCUGCAAGCUGCCUCACGCUGCCUUUCGUUGAGAGAAAGCAAAUACUUCAAAUACUCAUCCGGCAUGUUAGGCAAUCCAUGGUUAACAGAAUCUGUUUGGUUUUCACUACUCAAAGGCGGCGCUGAUGGCACUAACGUGUUAUGACCCAAAUUAUUACUGAGGUUUUAUGCUUUAUUACUGUGAGGAAUUGUUAAUAUACCAGCUGGCAUUUAAAAGUGUAGAGGUUUUAUAAAAGGAGCCCCAGCUCCCCCAAAUGUAUCAGAUCAGAAUUUUACAAAAGAAAUCAAUAUUGGAGCUCUGCUCCUUCUUCUCUCCUUCCCUCUUCUUCCAUAGCUUUCUUGUGCCACUUACAGGUUGAUUAAGGGAAUUGAGAAUUAGAUCUUAUCAAUGGUAUCAUCCUUCUCGAAUCCUGGUUUCCCUCCUGUGCACACCCACCCACCUACGUUUUCUGCCAUGGUUGCUGCGCCCAAGGAUUCGCUUCGCGAGACCCUGGAUGCUCUAUUCGCACCCUACCUGGCUAAGAUCCGCCGUGCCCGUGAGUUGGCUCUCAGCGCUGAGGGAGACUCCACUCCAACCCUUAUGUUCGCUAUCAGUGAUGGGGGAGUUCCUGAUCCAGCCCCGAUGAUUGCCGAUGACGCUGCAGGAAUCGAUCUCGGUCAGAAAAUAAUUCCACGAGUCGCUGCAUCAACUAAUCAGAUUCUGCCGUUGCUCUCGUCAUCGCCGUUAUUGCGAGCACUAGCAAAUCCUCCUGUCAGGCCACCGUCGAACUCAAACGCUUCAUUGGCAAAUUCGCCCAGCCAGCCGCUACACUCAAAUGAUAUUGUAGCAGCCACAAUUCCAUUGCGGAAUGUUGAGAAAACCAGGCCCGUUGCGAUUGUGACCACAAUGCCGCUAUUUCCGAUUUCAGCAACCUUUAGCACUGAAUCAGCCCACGCUCACAAUCACAACCUCGUUUUGAGCACCAAGGAAGCUACAACAAUGGCGCAUGUUCUGGGUUUUCCUCUCAAGAAAGCAGGAGCUACUAAAUCUGUAGGUAUAUCUCAUACAAACACCACGAAGCGUCGACACGAGGUAUUGACAUCCUUGCUUUCCAAUUCUACAAAUCGGAAGGACAAAUGGUAUUGGGUUUUGCAGGUUAUUUUGGCAUAUUAUACUGGUGUUAUUGUGAUAAUGUAUGACGACUUCUUAACUGAUAAAUGUGGAUGGGGUAAUUGGUACCUUGUGGGACAAUUUGUGUUACACGCGCCCCUAAUUUAAAUCGUAUUUUUACUAAAUUUGAGUUUAUCUUGCUUUUAAAAUUAUUUUUGGGUUUUAAAUGGUGUGCCCAAGGCCCACCCCCUGUUUUGUCCCCCGUUCCCUUUCCCUUUCUUUUAUUUAUUUUCUUCUUUCUUCUUCUUCUUCUUCUUCUUUUCUGUUUCUUUUUCUUUCUUUUCCGUCUGUCCCUCUCGGCUCUCUCUGCGCCCUCUCUUCUCUGCACCGCAACAAGCACACGCACGCACCCAUUGCACCUGCGCGAGGAAGACCAUCAUCAUCUCGUCCUGCUCUCUCUCCCUCUCGUGUUUGCGAACCCAGAAAAUCGGAAAGGAUCUUCCGCGAGAUUUUUAUAUUUUCCGGUUAGGUAAGCCUCAAAUCCCUCUCUUUCGUCCUAGAAUCUUUUGAGAAUGGGUUCUAAUUGGUUUUAUUUCGUGAUUUUUGGAGGUUUUAGGAUGAAAACAAACUCGGGUGCAGGAACACCCAUUUCCGGCGAGGAACCCGCCACUUUCGAGUUAAUCUCCGGCCAAACCACGGCGAGUUGGCCGGCGUGCAAGGUAUCAAUCUCUUCGUCUCGUCGAUUACUACAACUUUCCUUUUUGUUUCACCCAAUUUCGUUGAGUAUUGAAGAAGUUAUACUCAUUUGAAUCUUACCCAGUUUCCGGCGAGUCCGACGGCUUUCGAGGCGUUUUCCGGUCAAACCACGGCGAAUUAGACGUCGUGUGAGGUACCAUUCUCUUCGUCUCUUCGAGGGCUACAACUUUCGUUUUUGUCUCGCUUGAUUUCGUUGAGUUUUAACAAAGUUAUAGCCAUUUAAAAUUGGGUGGUUUUCCGGCCGAAAUUCCAGCCUUCUUCUUCCUCGGGUCCGGCGACCCAUCAAACUUGGGCCCUUUGGGCCGUUUCUGUUAAGGGCUUUAAGCCCAAACCCUAAACCUUUGGGCUUUAGGACCAAACCCAAGAACCCAAACCCUAUGACCCAAACCCGGAUCCAAGCCCAGACCCGUUUGACCUGGUCCGACCCGGAUCCUGACCCGUUGACUUUGACCGGUCAACGUUGACUUUUCUAGUUGACUUUUCGGGUUUUCGUCCAAGACCUUCCUAGGCUAAUUUCGACGUCCUGGAUCCGUUUUUGAAGUUCGUUUUCCCAAAUUCAAUCGUUUGAGUAGAGUUUGACUAAAUGGAUCAUUUAUGUGCUUAGGUGAAUUUAAUGACGGCGGUUCCGUUAUUCCUAUUUGGUAUGGCGUUGCACCAACGGUGUACGGUGAGUGGACCCCUUCUAAAAUGCAUGUUUUAUAGUAGAAAUGCAUACAUAAAAAGUAUGAUUUGAUGAUUACCUUUUAUGAAACGUUUUGUGAGAUAACAUGCUUAUUGAGGCUACUUUAAAUUAUUACUAUUUUUCCUAUAACCCGUGUUCUUAUAGAAUAUCUGAUGGAUGACGAUAUGAUAUUAGAACAUGUUUAGAACACCUCUUUAUAGUAUAGAUGAUGGAUGACUUUAUACUAUGAAGUUGUUUUUCAAUAUAUAUGUUCAAUGGUUUUGUACUUACCUAGUGGUCAUUUCCGCUACGGGACGUAGGGAUAGAUUCCGGUCAUUCCCGGGCGACGGUUUGGUGUUGGCAUAGGGCCUGGAGUGUGUUUCCUCUGGCUAUUUAGCACAGGGACGGGGAGCCGGCAUGGGGCCUGAAGUGUAUUUUCCUCUGACUGUCUGCUCAGAGACGGGGAGCCGGCAUGGGGCCUGGGGGUUAUCGGACAAUUCACUAGUGAUUAUUAUAUAUAUAAAAGUUAUGAUUUGAGACACUGCACAUCAUGCUAGGUUUCGGAAAACCUAUGUUUAUCAUUAUAUAUGUGUUUUCAUAAAACUUGGGGGUUAGUACGUUGAUAACUGUUUUGUUAUAUUUAUAUCAAAUUGGUCCACUCAUGUUUGUUUUGCGCCCCCUUCAGGAUUUAGGAUCGAGGCGUACAAUCCCGGCAAUCCAGGCACUUCCGCAUCGGUAUCUUCAAGUCCUCUCGGUGUAGAACCCACUUCUGUGUUCAUUCAAUUUUUAUAUUAAUUCUUUUAAUGUUCUAGAUUAGAUGUGUGCUCUGAACACGUUCCUUAAAUGCAUAUUCUUUAUUUAUAUUUAUAAGUUUUAUCUAUCCUUUAUUUUCAGCAAUUGCACUCAAUAAAUGGCUUUCGUCGCCCUCGGGUGUCGGCCAGCACGUGACCAUCCUGAUAUCCUGAGGAUAUCGGGAUCGGGGCGUGUCAGAUUGGUAUCAGAGCGUGGUUUGUUCAGAGCAUACUUAGGAUCCUCUUCUAUUAUCGUAGAGUGUUGGUUUUGACAUCAUUUGGAUGUCCAGACUUCUAGAUUUGGUGCCAUUCGGCGCAGUCGUGCGAAUCUUCCUCUAUUUGAAUUGUCACAUUCGGGUUGAUAUACAAGAAUUUGUGUCGGGAUUGUGCCUCAUCGGUGACGUGUUUGAAUUGUUGGACGACUUUCAGCUUCAGAUUGAUACUCUACGACGUGCAUUCCCUGGGAAUGACGGGCAUAGUCGGUGUUACUUGGAAGCGACGGAUUUUAGAAAUCUCAGCUUAAGGAAGUCUGGUCAAGACCAGCUGUAAAUUCGAAAUGGCGAUGCCACUCUACAACAUGCGUUCCCUAGGAAUUGCGGGCGGAGUCGGCUUUGCAUCGAAAUCUUGGGAAGCGGAAAAAAAAUCUUGGCAGUACGAAUUGACUAAGACCAACUGGAGUUCUGAAGCGGUGUUGUACUCUGCAACAUGCGUUCCUUAGGAAUGGCGGGCAGAGUCGUAUCUCUUUAGAAAUUACUCGAAACUUUCGAAAUGCAGAUUGAAGAAGCGAGUAAGUGCUAGUGGUGACGACGGUUAGUAGGUGGUAGUUGGUGGGAGCAAAAUCAAUGUUCUCGAACUCAUUACCACUGAAGAAAUUUGGGUGAAUCUUUAUAACAGUUCUCUGUGAUUGUUUUAUCGAUUACCUUCUCGUUUAUUCCAACGACGAAGUCAAGUUCACUGACCUUUGAUCGUCAGCUUCACAUCAAAUCCCUCGAGAGUUGACUUCGUCUAGAGAUUAUACUUUUCUUGGGAAACUCCUCGGUAGCAGACGUUAUUCUCAUCAAUUUCGAAAUGGAGUUGCGAUUCUUGUUGUUGUUGUAGUUGAACUUGGAUAAUGAAGAUUCAGCCUUGUUUGGAUAAACAAAUUCCUUGAACUUCACCUGGGUUUGGUACUUGGUAGUAAACCCUAGUUCCUCAUCCGUGUACUUUUCAGUGAAGGUGAACUUAGUCCCUUGCUUGCAACCUAACUGUUCAGCCUUGUAAUUUUCAGCGUAAUGGCUUGAGACUCUAUCAUAUUCAUCAUUGUACGAAGAUCGAGCUUUACUCUGAACUUCUCUGGGCUCGUUAAGCUUUGAUUUGCUCAGAGGCAUCACUUUAAGGUAGCCAAUCGUGUCACUGCAUGCAUACACAAGCUGCUUUGUAUCUUUCUUCUUCGUUAUUCUGCUGAUUCAGAGGUUUUAUGUUUAAUUUCUGAAUUUUUAAAUGACUAUCGCGAAGUACCGUGAAUCUCGAAAUGUCUUUGGCCUCGUCAAAUCUUAUUAAUAGUUCUUGACUAUUCUUGAGAUUAGACUUGUUCCUUUUGGCUAAGAAACCAGUCGACCUUAUUGUGAUGAGUAGCCAAAUAAUCAUAAACAGUAACUUCUAUUUCUGCAUCUUCAUUUUCCUUCGUUUGUUUGUUUGUUUCUCAAUGUGAACUGGAUCAUGCCGGGACAUUACACGAAGGGUGUAAAAAAAAAAAAAAAAAAAAACGUUUGUUCUCGGCGUGGUUUCUAGUUCAAAUCCGGAUAUCUUGUACUCUAUAUUUAAUGGACUUGUUUUGAACCUUAAAUUCCUGAGUGUUCUUUUAGCCUUAUCGACAUGGUUUCUCUCUCAAUUAGUGAGAAAUUCAUGAUCGAUGGUUUCGGCGGAAGUGUGCGCCCAAUUCUUAUCGAUUUGGACAGGAAUGUUGGGAGCAUAAUCUUUUCACAAGCUUACUAGACUUACCAGAAAGAGUUCCACGUGGGUGUGAAGUUUGAGUUGUCUUUUGGUAAGAGACUGGUGAAGAUUGUGGUGCAGAUGAUUAGCAGAUUGUAUCACUAUCUUCACGCUGAAUUGAAUGGUCACCAUUCAUUAUCCUGCUGCAAUUCAUAAUCAUCAUAUCUUACUCUGGUAGACAUUUUUGAUGAUGUGUUCGCCUCAACGCAGCUUUCCACUACCUCUCACCAGGAUCCUUCGGUUCGAGAGCACGUGGGCGUGAGGUUGAGCGGUCUUUUAGUAAGAGUUGGUUGAAGGUUUUAGUUCAGAAGGUCAGCAUAUUGUAUCACCAUCUUACUAGAAUUCAUAGGCAUCACAUCGGUUAUUUUCCAACGAUAUGUGUUCGUGUCAAUGCAUACUUCGACUGCUUCACUUCUGAACCUUAUUCUUGUGAGUAUGUGGAUGUUGAAUCACUUAUAGCAGAUUUGUUUGGUGCACUCUGGAAUGGCACCACAACGUAGUUGAGAUAAGAAUCGGAAGAUCUUUGCACUUUUUGCGAAUGGUGUGUGCUCUCAUGGGGUGUUUAGGUUGAUUGCAUGAGAGUCAUUCUUUCCUCCAACAUUGAUCUUGUUUGACUAGAAAUCUGCAACUAAGCAAAAAUGGAGAGGUGGAUUGAGCACUACAACAGUUCCCAAGAGAUACUGCGUGUUGAGGAAGAUGACUUCUCGUUUUCUGCUUACCUAGUUCGAGCUUUUGGGUCUACUACUAACAUGGUGGCCACUUCUCUUGAAUCCCAAAGUACAGUUUCAAAUGGGUUCUUUGUUGGCAUAACUCUGGAGUAGUUGGUCACAUUUGGAAUAACUGAGGAAGAGGUUGUGCUUGGUACUAAAGGGAGUUAGUAUGACGAUAGUUAUUGGUUUUGUUCGAUUUGGGUAUGGCACUAUUUGCGACAUGGUACGAGAGUUGCUACACGCAACAUUGGUUGAUAGAGGAGACGUGCAAGCUUGUACUUGGAGGAUCGAAUUUUCGACGUGUGAAAUUGUGCACCCUCAGGAAAUUACUGCUUGUUUACUGAGACAACAAAUGUGUGGUCGAUAUCGCGGGCGGCCGACUGUGGUAUCGAUAAUUUAUUUGUUGGGUUCGUUAAGCAAGUGGGGCAGGAAUAUCCUUUUACGGCAGCCGUUAAAGAUUCACUAUUGUUAGAACUGGACCCAAAGACACAUCUAUUUUCGGAGUACGCGACGUUUCGAAUUCUUGGGCAAGACCCACUCUCAUUCUUCAGUUUUGGUUUUCAGUAUAAGUAUUUUAACCUCAUUUACUCUAGUUAAUUGUUUUGCCAUUACAAAUGUUUUUGGAAAAGUAUUUCCGUUUUCAGUUUUUAAGUGUAGCUCGAAUUUUCAACCUAUAUGUUGGUACAUAUCCAUUUUGACGUUAUCGUAUGUUAUGUUCUUACUUUUGACCUUAAUCUAUUUUAUGUUUUCGACUUUAUAUCUUUAUAAAGUAUGUUUUCUACUUUUACACUGAUGGGGAAGAAAGUAAGCUUGGAGGCAUGAUAGAGGAUUUUGCAACCCGCUCGCGACGGUGUGGUAUAUUCUCUUUGAUGCACCCACUCUGACUUGAUUUCUCUUUAUACAUAUAUUCUUCUUACUAUUUUCGUGUAUUUCAGUUUAGUAGGUGAUUUUAAAUUUCGGGGACGAAAUUCUUUUUAAGGGGGGUAGAUUGUUACACCCGCCCCUAAUUUAAAUCGUAUUUUCACUAAGUUUGAGUUUAUCUUGCUUUUAAAAUUGUUUUUGGGUCUUAAAUGGUGUGCCCAAGGGGCCCCACCCCCUGUUUUGUCCCCCGUUCCCUUUCCCUUUCUUUUAUUUAUUUUCUUCUUUCUUCUUCUUCUUCUUCUUCUUUUCUGUUUCUUUUUCUUUCUUUUCCGUCUGUCCCUCUCGGCUCUCUCUGCGCCCUCUCUUCUUUGCACCGCAACAAGCACACGCACGCACCCAUUGCACCUGCGCGAGGAAGACCAUCAUCAUCUCGUCCUGCUCUCUCUCCCUCUCGUGUUUGCGAACCCAGAAAAUCGGAAAGGAUCUCCCGCGAGAUUUUUAUAUUUUCCGGUUAGGUAAGCCUUAAAUCCCUCUCUUUCGUCCUAGAAUCUUUGAGAAUGGGUUCUAAUUGGUUUUAUUUCGUGAUUUUUGGAGGUUUUAGGAUGAAAACAAACUCGGGUGCAUGAACACCCAUUUCCGGCGAGGAACCCGCCACUUUCGAGUUAAUCUCCGGCCAAACCACGGCGAGUUGGCCGGCGUGCAAGGUAUCAAUCUCUUCGUCUCGUCGAUUACUACAACUUUCCUUUUUGUUUCACCCAAUUUCGUUGAGUAUUGAAGAAGUUAUACUCAUUUGAAUCUUACCCAGUUUCCGGCGAGUCCGACGGCUUUCGAGGCUUUUUCCGGUCAAACCACGGCGAAUUAGACGUCGUGUGAGGUACCAUUCUCUUCGUCUCUUCGAGGGCUACAACUUUCGUUUUUGUCUCGCUUGAUUUCGUUGAGUUUUGACAAAGUUAUAGCCAUUUAAAAUUGGGUGGUUUUCCGGCCGAAAUUCCGGCCUUCUUCUUCCUCGGGUCCGGCAACCCAUCAAACUUGGGCCCUUUGGGCCGUUUCUGUUAAGGGCUUUAAGCCCAAACCCUAAACCUUUGGGCUUUAGGACCAAACCCAAGAACCCAAACCCUAUGACCCAAACCCGGAUCCAAGCCCAGACCUGUUUGACCUGGUUCGACCCGGAUCCUGACCCGUUGACUUUGACCGGUCAACGUUGACUUUUCUAGUUGACUUUUCGGGUUUUCGUCCAAGACCUUCCUAGGCUAAUUUCGACGUCCUGGAUCCGUUUUUGAAGUUCGUUUUCCCAAAUUCAAUCGUUUGAGUAGAGUUUGACUAAAUGGAUCAUUUAUGUGCUUAGGUGAAUUUAAUGACGGCGGUUCCGUUAUUCCUAUUUGGUAUGGCGUUGCACCAACGGUGUACGGUGAGUGGACCCCUUCUAAAAUGCAUGUUUUAUAGUAGAAAUGCAUACAUAAAAAGUAUGAUUUGAUGAUUACCUUUUAUGAAACGUUUUGUGAGAUAACAUGCUUAUUGAGGCUACUUUAAAUUAUUACUAUUUUUCCUAUAACCCGUGUUCUUAUAGAAUAUCUGAUGGAUGACGAUAUGAUAUUAGAACAUGUUUAGAAUGUCACAGCCCGUCCCGGGAUUUCUAUAUCGGGGGCGUGAAUUGACGUAACUACCCUUGACGGACAUUCGGGUACGUGUGUGUGCGACAUUAUUGAAUUAAUUUUGUAAGUUUUGGGAUUUUAAUUUUGGAAUUUGGAAAUUUUUGUGGUUAGGGAAUUGGAUGGAUGGUGAGGAUUGUGUUGGACCACACAAUCACACACACACGCACUCCCUGUCUUCUCUCCCUCCCGUAGCUCUCUCUGUCCCUCUCCCUCACGAUCUCUCUCUUUCCCCUCACCCUAUACGUACGGCCUUCACCCAAAACCCUUCAAAACUCGACGGAUCGAGGCAAAUAAGGUAUGCAUCUUCAUCCUUUCGUCGUCCUGAGUUCAUUGGUGCUAGUUUUAGGAAGUGAAACCUUCGAUUUCACAUAGAUCCCGAACCUCCAUUUUUGAGGUACUGUUCAUGCGAACGUAAAAUGUUGUGUUUCAGGAGAUUUCAAGCUUGUGGUGAGCUUUAGGAGGUUCCUAAGGAAGCUCGGGGACGUUCGUUGGAGAGUUUUGGACGUCGGGAUCGUAGGUUUCAAGUUUGGCCGAAUCUUUGGUUUUUCCAAGGUGAGAUUUCGUAGUUUUUAGGCCCUAAAACAAGUCCAACGUGAUUGUACACUCUUAGGGCUUCAAUUUGGUAUAAAAUACGAAGAAAAUGGGUGAAAAACGAAGGAGAAUAGUGAGUUUGAAAAUCGGCCGGAGUUCGGCCGGAGUCCGGCCACCAGAGAACCAGUCCGGCGAGACCUGCGAAGAAGACGACACGUGCGCUGCACGUGCUGCGCGUGGCCAGCGCGUGGACCCGUGCCACGUGUGGCGCGUGGGGGCGCGUGGGGCUUCCAAAAAUUUUUCUAAAAAUUUCUCGACGCUCGUGACGUCGAGUAGGUCGAUGUGGUAUAUUAUUAUACCAAAAUUGAGCAUCGUAUGAGAAGUUAUUUCAAAUUAUUGGUGAUGUGCUUAAAAUUAAUGUUUUUAUAGUUGUUUCGCAUAUAGGUGAGACGUAUCCCGAGGACGACCGCAUCCAGGGACGCCACGGGGGUUACGACGACCCGUCGACUUAUCAGUGAGUGGGCAGUUUUGUUUUCGUAUUACCUAUAUACUACUGUUUUUCCCAGAAAAAUGUUUAUAUGAAAAUAUGUUUUGAAUAUGCCAUGCAUAGAAUUAUUUGAAAAUCAUGAAUUGGUUUAUGAACUAUAUGAUUGAAAUAUGAUGCAUACAUGUUGCAUGGUGCUGUGGAGGCACAGGUAAGUCAGGUGAGUUCAUUUAUUCAUUGAAUUGUUGUUGUUGAGAUGAGUUGAGCUCAUAAUCUGCACCCUAGGUGUUAGUGCUUAUAUUAUUCACCACACCGCACGCUCGUCUUGGAUCCAAGUAGGUGGAUGUCGUACAGACCAUGUGAGGGUUCCGACAUGCUAGUCGUACAGAUCACUAGGCGUGAUUCCGACUAGUGGGUGACCUUAGUUAUGCGCGCUGAUGAUAUGAUGAGAGAAGCACUAGAGCGUAUUUUUACACCUUUCAUCGUAUAGACUACCUUACGUAGUUCCGAGUGAUGUGCAGAGUAGGGCCGUAUAGGUCACUGUGGUGACUCCGGCUUAGUGGGAUUUUUGAGCUAUUGAAUUAAUCGUAUAGGACCAACUGCAGGGUCUCCGAUUGAUUCCUUAUUUCACCUGAUUUAUAUUUUUUAUUUAUGUCAUGGCAUGUUUUCUUGAAAAUGUUAAAGAUUUGAGAUUUAAAUGUUGAGAUUUUAUAUGGUUAUAUAUAUUUCUGGGAAAGUAUACAGGUUUUUACGGCGAGGGGAUAUAACUGUUUUAAUGAAAUGUUUUGGAAAACUAAUUUGUUUUACUGACCCACUCAUUUUGUUUUGCGCCCCUCCAGGUUCUAGUUUAGCGGUGGUUGGCUCACGAGGUCCUUUCCGGCUUUCUGACAGAUUUGGGACAUGUAGGACUCACCUGAGGGUGAUGUAUUCUUAUUUUAGUCCUACUUGACUGCAGUUAACCUAUGCUCUGAACUUAUGUGUUUACUUGUAAACUCGUCCGGUUAUGUCCGUAUGUGGUUAUGUUGAGUUUGGGUUGAAUUUCUGUUGUUAUUACGCUUCCGUGUCGUGCUUAUGGUUACGUCACGCCCACGUGACGGCCAGCACACCUGGAUCCUCCGGAUCAGGGUGUGUCAGUUUGGUAUCAGAGCUUAGGUUGCAGUCCUGUAAAAUUGUUAAUGUCUUAACGAUCUUUUUGAUGUUUUCUGUCAGAAUCAUGCCGCCUCGUAGAGAGCGUAGGGAGUCCCGCCGUACUCCUGAACCUAAUUUCCCAGAUAUUACUCAGUUAGGGGAAGCGAUGGCCCAGGCUUUACAGAAUGUGAUUCGUCCUCCCCCUCCUCCGAGGACACCUCUGGAGACCAUGUACAACUUGAAGUUAGAUCGGUUUAUGGGUAAUGAAAGUCAUGAGGGGGCAGAGAAAUGGCUUGAUCAUAUUGAGAAAACCUUUCAGGUGAUGCAGAGUCAGGGGAAUCUCCCUGCUAAUAGGUGGGUGGAGACCACCACUUGGUUUCUGGGUUGUGAACCAGCAGCAUGGUGGAUAAAUCAGGCUAGGUACAUGUCACCUGAGACGGCAGCCGACUGGAAAGUAUUCAAGGAGCAUUUUAUGAAGAGAUUUCGUUCCUCCUGAGUAUAUUGACCGUAAGAAGCAGGAAUUCACCAGGUUGAAACAGAGAAAUAUGUCGGCACAUGAAUAUUAUAGAAAGUUUACUGAUUUGUCUCGUUAUGACACUGAUAUAGCUGGUAAUCAGGGAGAGAUGCUUCGACGUUUCAAGUUGGGAUCUAAGAAGAAGUGGCGUACCUUUGCCAAUGCACUUCCCUGCGCUGAUUAUCAUGAGUAUUUCGAGAUUUUGGUUAGGAUGGAGGACUCUGAUAAUCUUCCUGACAGUGAGGAUGACGAGGACAAGAAUGAGGGUCAGAAGAAGAAUGAUAAGGGUAAGGGUAUUUCUAUUCCUGGACCUCGACAGACACAGAGUUUUUAAGAAGAGUGGAGCGAGUUCGAGUUCUUCUAGUGGGGGAUAUAGUUUUACUGGCCCGAGGAGAGGUGGUGGAAGAUUUUCUGGUGGACCCAGAUUUCAGGGUCAGAGGGAUGCUGGUGGAUCUGGCGCUCCAUGGUGCCGCCGUUGUAACUCCCGUCACCAUGGUGAGUGUAGGAGAGGUUCUGGUGCCUUGUUUUUACGUGUGGGACAGAUGGGACAUCGGGCUUCUCAGUGCCCCCAGGGUCAGCAGAGACCGCAGCAGACUAAUAUGCCACCUCCAGCACCAGUUCAGCAGAGUUUUGGGACCGGGUGGUUAUGGCCAGCCGAGUCGUGGUGGUGCCUACCACUAUCAGGGGGAUGCUGCUCCGUAUGCUUCCGGACCUUAUCAGUAUUCUCAGGAGCCUUAUCCUCAGGCAGGGUAUUCUCAGGAUUUUGGAGGUUAUUCUUCUUAUUCCUCUAUGCCAGCUGGUGGAUCGCAGUGGCAUCAGGGAGGCCAGCCCCGUCAGGGGGAAGUUGCUACUGGUGGUGCAGGAUCAUCCAGGCAGCCUAGUCAGCCAGGCCAGGGACGAGGUAAUCAGGGCAAUAGAGGCCGAGGUGGACGUCAGCAAGCUCAGGGGCGAGUUAAUCAUAUUGUCCCUGCAGGAGGCUCAGAACCAUCCAGACUUGAUAAUGGGUACGUUAAAUGUUCUUGGUCAUUUUGCUAAGGUUUUGAUUGAUUGUGGCGCUACGCACUCUGUGAUUUCUCAUACGUUUGCUCAAAUAACCCAACCUCACCCUUCACCUCUAGGAUUUGAUUUAGAGUUUGCCAUGCCUAGAGGAGAUAAAUGUAUUGUGGAUAGUGUGUAUCUGGGGUGUCCAGUGAUGGUUGAGGGCGUGAUUAUGUCCGCUGAUCUUAUUCCGUUAGAUAUUGUGGAUUUUGAUGUGAUUUUAGGGGCCGAUUGGUUACACCAUAAUCGUGCCCAUAUUGAUUGUUAUGGUAAAUCAGUUACUUUUUAUCGUCCUGGAUUACCCGAGGUUAUUUUUGUGGGCGAGAGAAGUGGGGUGAGACAUGGAGUUAUUUCUGCCAUAAGGGCGAGGAAAUUAUUAUCGAAGGGUUGUCAGGGAUAUUUGGCACAUGUGGUAUUAAAUGAUGUUGCUCCUACUAGUAUAGAAGAAGUUGGUGUGGUCAGACAUUAUCCGGAUGUUUUCCCUGAUGAUUUGCCGGGAUUGCCGCCAGACAGAGAGGUGGAAUUCUCUAUUGAUUUGCUUCCAGGUACGGACCCUAUAUCUCUGACUCCUUAUAGAAUGGCUCCUGCUGAGUUAAGGGAAUUAAAAAUCCAGUUGCAAGAAUUACUUGAUAAAGGUUUUAUUCAACCUAGUUCUUCACCUUGGGGUGCCCCAGUAUUAUUUGUGAAGAAGAAGGAUGGAACUCUUUCGAUUGUGUAUUGAUUAUAGACAAUUGAACCGGGUAACGAUUAAAAACCGUUAUCCAUUGCCCCGCAUUGAUGAUUUGUUUGAUCAGCUGAAAGGUGCGUGUGUAUUUUCUAAGAUUGAUUUGAGAUCCGGGUAUUAUCAAUUGAAGAUUAAAGAAGACGAUGUACCUAAGACGGCUUUCCGAACUCGGUACGGACAUUAUGAAUUUUCGGUUAUGCCGUUUGGGUUGACUAAUGCACCUGCAGCUUUUAUGAGAUUAAUGAAUGAGGUAUUCCAGAAAUAUCUUGAUAAAUUUGUUAUUGUUUUUAUUGAUGAUAUUCUGGUAUACUCUAAGUCCCAAGCAGAUCAUAUCCGACACCUUAAUUUGGUGUUAAGGAAAUUAAGGGAGCAUCAGUUGUAUGCCAAGUUCAGUAAAUGUCAGUUUUGGUUGACUGAAGUGGCAUUUUUGGGGCAUGUUGUAUCAGCUCAAGGUAUUCAAGUUGAUCCUCAAAAGAUUGCAGCAGUGGAGAAUUGGGAGCAACCUCGAACCGUCACGGAGGUACGAAGUUUUCUUGGCUUAGCAGGUUAUUAUCGACGGUUCGUUCAGGAUUUCUCUAUGAUUGCUUUACCGUUGACAAAGUUGACCAGGAAGGAUGUUAAAUUUGAGUGGGAUGAGAAUUGUGAGCGGAGUUUUCAACAAUUGAAGUAUUGCCUCACUCAUGCACCGGUGUUGGUACUUCCCGACGAUAGCGGUAAUUUUGAGAUAUAUAGUGAUGCUUCAUUAAAUGGUUUGGGAUGUGUUUUGAUGCAGCAUAAUAAGGUGAUUGCCUAUGCUUCUAGGCAGUUGAAAAAAUCAUGAAAGGAACUAUCCUACUCACGAUCUUGAAUUGGCAGCAAUUGUUUUUGCUUUGAAAAUUUGGAGGACAUUACUUUGUAUGGUGAGAAGUGUAAGAUCUUCACUGAUCACAAGAGUCUUCAGUAUUUGUUUACUCAGCAUGAUCUUAAUCUUCGUCAGCGAAGGUGGAUGGAAUUGUUAAGUGAUUAUGAUUGUUCUAUUGAAUACCAUCCAGGUCGUGCUAAUGUAGUAGCGGAUGCACUGAGUAGGAAACCUCAAGGUAGACUUAAUGCCCUUAUAUGCUAGUCGUGUUCCUCUUCUUGCUGAAUCUGAGGACAACUGGGGUAAGGUUGGAAAUUGAAAGACCGAGGAUGGAGCUUUUCUUGCUAGUUUUCAAGUCAGGCCAGUUUUGGUGGAGCGUAUACUUGCAGCUCAGAUGGUGAAUGAGGAAAGUUCAAGGAGUUGGUUCAGUUAAGAAGUGAAGGGAAAAAGAAAGACCUCAGAAUUCGGGAAUCAGACGGUAUGCUCAUGCAAGAAGACAGAAUGUAUGUUCCGAAUAAUGAGGAAUUGAAGAAGGAAAUUCUGGACGAAGCACAUUGUUCAGCUUAUGCGAUGCAUCCGGGAGGAACAAAAAUGUAUAUCAUACCAUUCGACCAUUUUAUUAUUGGCCGGGUAUGAAAAGAGAAAUUGCAGAAUAUGUGAGCAGGUGUAUUAUUUGCCAGCAAGUGAAAGCAGAAAGAAAGAAGCCAUUUGGGCGAAUGCAACCCCUUCCUGUUCCCCAGUGGAAAUGGGAAAAUAUAACCAAUGGAUUUCGUGUAUAAACUUCCUCGUACGCGAAAUGGAUUUGAUGGUAUUUGGGUGAUUGUGGAUCGACUCACCAAGUCGGCGCAUUUCAUUCCUGUGAGGGAGAAAUACCCUCUGAAUAAAUUGGCUAAGUUGUUUAUUUCGAAGAUUGUCAAGUAUCAUGGAGUCCCAGUAAAUAUUAUCUCCGAUCGAGACCCGAGGUUUACUUCUAAAUUUUGGGUGGCUUUUCAGGAAGCUCUGGGUACUCAAUUACUGUAUAGCACAGCUUAUCAUCCUCAAACUGAUGGGCAAUCAGAGAGGACCAUUCAGACGUUGGAAGGAUAUGUUGAGAUCUUCAGUACUGCAAUUUGGUGAUUCUUGGCAUGAUCGUCUGGACUUAAUGGAGUUUGCUUAUAAUAACAGUUUUUCACUCGAGCAUUGGUAUGUCCCCAUUCGAGGCACUUUAUGGUAGGGCGUGUCGAACGCCAUUAUGUUGGUCUGAGGUUGGUGAACGGGUAUUAGAAGGCCCUGAGAUCGUGGAUGAGACGACUCAAAAUGUUCAGAUAAUUAAGUCAAACCUGAAAGCAGCCCAGGAUCGACAGAAGAGUUUAGCGGAUCGGCAUACUACUGAUCGAGUGUAUGAUGUGGGUGAUUGGGUAUUUUUGAAAUUGUCGCCUUGGAGAGGUGUAGUACGAUUUGGGAAAAGAGGAAAGUUAAGCCCGAGAUAUAUUGGACCUUAUGUGAUCACUGAAAGAGUUGGUGAAGUUGCCUAUCGGUUGGAACUGCCUCCGGAGUUAUCUAAGGUCCAUAAUGUGUUCCACGUCUCUAUGCUUCGGCAUUAUAUUUCUGAUCCUUCUCAUGUGAUCCCUCCUCAACCGUUAGAGAUUAAUCCGGAAUUUGACGUAUGAUGAGGAACCGGUCACUAUCUUGGAUUGGAAAGAUAAGGUUCUAAGGAACAAGACGGUGAGUUUGGUAAAGGUGUUGUGGAUGAACCAUUCUGCAGAGGAAGCCACCUGGGAGACGGAAGAUCGGAUGAGAGAGAUGUACCCAAGGUUAUUUUAUGGGUACUAAGUGGUUAAUUUGGAUUGUGGGAAUUUCGGGGACGAAAUUCUAUAAGGAGGGGAGAUUGUCACAGCCCGUCCCCGGGAUUUCUAUAUCGGGAAUGUGAAUUGACAGUAACUACCCUUGAUUGGACAUUCGGGUACGUGUGUGUGCGACAUUAAAUUGAAAUUUUGUAAGUUUUGGGAUUUUAAUUUUGGAAUUUGGAAAUUUUUUGUGGUUAGGGAAUUGGAUGGAUGGUGAGGAUUGUGUUGGACCACACAAUCACACACACACGCACUCCCUGUCUUCUCUCCCUCCCGUAGCUCUCUCUGUCCCUCUCCCUCACGAUCUCUCUCUUUCACCCUCACCCUAUACGUACGGCCUUCACCCAAAACCCUUCAAAACUCGACGGAUCGAGGGGCAAAUAAGGUAUGCAUCUUCAUCCUUUCGUCGUCCUGAGUUCAUUGGUGCUAGUUUUAGGAAGUGAAACCUUCGAUUUCACAUAGAUCCCGAACCUCCAUUUUUGAGGUACUGUUCAUGCGAACGUAAAAUGUUGUGUUUCAGGAGAUUUCAAGCUUGUGGUGAGCUUUAGGAGGUUCUAAGGAAGCUCGGGGACGUUCGUUGGAGAGUUUUGGACGUCGGGAUCGUAGGUUUCAAGUUUGGCCGAAUCUUUGGUUUUUCCAAGGUGAGAUUUCGUAGUUUUUAGGCCCUAAAACAAGUCCAACGUGAUUGUACACUCUUAGGGCUUCAAUUUGGUAUAAAAUACGAAGAAAAUGGGUGAAAAAACGAAGGAGAAUAGUGAGUUUGAAAAUCGGCCGGAGUUCGGCCGGAGUCCGGCCACCGGAGAACCAGUCCGGCGAGGACCUGCGAAGAAGACGACACGUGCGCUGCACGUGCUGCGCGUGGCCAGCGCGUGGACCCGUGCCACGUGUGGCGCGUGGGGGCGCGUGGGGCUUCCAAAAAAUUUUUCUAAAAAUUUCUCGACGCUCGUGACGUCGAGUAGGUCGAUGUGGUAUAUUAUUAUACCAAAAAUUGAGCAUCGUAUGAGAAGUUAUUUCAAAUUAUUGGUGAUGUGCUUUAAAAUUAAUGUUUUUAUAGUUGUUUCGCAUAUAGGUGAGACGUAUCCCGAGGACGACCGCAUCCAGGGACGCCACGGGGGUUACGACCCGUCGACUUAUCAGUGAAUGGGCAGUUUUGUUUUCGUAUUACCUAUAUACUACUGUUUUUCCCAGAAAAAUGCAUUUAUAUGAAAAUAUGUUUUUGAAUAUGCCAUGCAUAGAAUUAUUUGAAAAUCAUGAAUUGGUUUCACAUGAACUAUAUGAUUGAAAUAUGAUGCAUACAUGUUGCAUGGUGCUGUGGAGGCACAGGUAAGUCAGGUGAGUUCAUUUAUUCAUUGAAUUGUUGUUGUUGAGAUGAGUUGAGCUCAUAAUCUGCACCCUAGGUGUUAGUGCUUAUAUUAUUCACCACACCGCACGCUCGUCUUGGAUCCAAGUAGGUGGAUGUCGUACAGACCAUGUGAGGGUUCCGACAUGCUAGUCGUACAGAUCACUAGGCGUGAUUCCGACUAGUGGGUGACCUUAGUUAUGCGCGCUGAUGAUAUGAUGAGAGAAGCACUAGAGCGUAUUUUUACACCUUUCAUCGUAUAGACUACCUUACGUAGUUCCGAGUGAUGUGCAGAGUAGGGCCGUAUAGGUCACUGUGGUGACUCCGGCUUAGUGGGAUUUGAGCUAUUGAAUUAAUCGUAUAGGACCAACUGCAGGGUCUCCGAUUGAUUCCUUAUUCACCUGAUUUAUAUUUUUUAUUUAUGUCAUGGCAUGUUUUCUUGAAAAUGUUAAAGAUUUGAGAUUUAAAUGUUGAGAUUUUAUAUGGUUAUAUAUAUUUCUGGGAAAGUAUACAGGUUUUUACGGCGAGGGGAUAUAACUGUUUUAAUGAAAUGUUUUGGAAAACUAAUUUGUUUUACUGACCCACUCAUUUUGUUUUGCGCCCCUCCAGGUUCUAGUUUAGCGGUGGUUGGCUCACGAGGUCCUUUCCGGCUUUCUGACAGAUUUGGGACAUGUAGGACUCACCUGAGGGUGAUGUAUUCUUAUUUUAGUCCUACUUGACUGCAGUUAACCUAUGCUCUGAACUUAUGUGUUUACUUGUAACUCGUCCGGUUAUGUCCGUAUGUGGUUAUGUUGAGUUUGGGUUGAAUUUCUGUUGUUAUUACGCUUCCGUGUCGUGCUUAUGGUUACGUCACGCCCACGUGACGGCCAGCACACCUGGAUCCUCCGGAUCAGGGUGUGUCAUAGAACACCUCUUUAUAGUAUAGAUGAUGGAUGACUUUAUACUAUGAAGUUGUUUUUCAAUAUAUAUGUUCAAUGGUUUUGUACUUACCUAGUGGUCCUUUCCGCUACGGGACGUAGGGAUAGAUUCCGGUCAUUCCCGGGCGACGGUUUGGUGUUGGCAUAGGGCCUGGAGUGUGUUUCCUCUGGCUAUUUAGCACAGGGACGGGGAGCCGGCAUGGGGCCUGAAGUGUAUUUUCCUCUGACUGUCUGCUCAGAGACGGGGAGCCGGCAUGGGGCCUGGGGGUUAUCGGACAAUUCACUAGUGAUUAUUAUAUAUAUAAAAGUUAUGAUUUGAGACACUGCACAUCAUGCUAGGUUUCGGAAAACCUAUGUUUAUCAUUAUAUAUGUGUUUUCAUAAAACUUGGGGGUUAGUACGUUGAUAACUGUUUUGUUAUAUUUAUAUCAAAUUGGUCCACUCAUGUUUGUUUUGCGCCCCCUUCAGGAUUUAGGAUCGAGGCGUACAAUCCCGGCAAUCCAGGCACUUCCGCAUCGGUAUCUUCAAGUCCUCUCGGUGUAGAACCCACUUCUGUGUUCAUUCAAUUUUUAUAUUAAUCCUUUUAAUGUUCUAGAUUAGAUGUGUGCUCUGAACACGUUCCUUAAAUGCAUAUUCUUUAUUCUCUUAUAUUUAUAAGUUUUAUCUAUCCUUUAUUUUCAGCAAUUGCACUCAAUAAAUGGCUUUCGUCGCCCUCGGGUGUCGGCCAGCACGUGACCAUCCUGAUAUCCUGAGGAUAUCGGGAUCGGGGCGUGUCAAUUUGUGAAGAAGAAUUUUUAUGCACUGCAACUGUUUGAUCGUCUGUCUAAGAGAGGGAGUGCAAAUGUACAUGUGCUUUAUGUGGCCUCUUUAGAUAUGCAUGAUUUAGAAGCUAGCCCUAAACUGGAUGGUAGUAGCAGCAAGCCAAGGGUUAAAGAAGUGUCUUCUGAAGAAAAAGAUAAUGUGUCUCACAUUGAGAUUAAGAUUACUGAAUACCAUAGCUCCGAUGAAAAGUGUGUUCUGAGGUAUCUUAAUCUUUCAGACAACGCCAUGGGCAACUAUGGUGUCAAUGCAUUUGAGUCACUUCUUAGUUCACAAAACAAUUUGAGAGAACUUUAUUUGAUGAAUAUGGCAAGGCUCAAUAUGUGUCAUAACAUGAGGGAGUGGCACUGCGAUGCUAUUAGGAAGAUCAAAUGGCUGAAUGAGAAUGAGAUUUCUGUUAUGAUCAAUACCGAAGGACAAGCAAACUAUGAAGGUUUUUUUUAUUGUAUCAAAUAUGGUGAGGAGCUCACUUUUAAGCUGUUGCUCUAUUUCCAAGCUGUCAAGGCAAAAAGUCUUGGGUUUACUAAACUUGGGUCACCAAAAGAGGCUAAGAAGGUUGUUGGGAACAUGAAUGAUGUUACUGCUAGUGCCAAACAGCUAAAGGAGAUGGAACAAGGCUUGACCAGUUUGAUAGUUUUGGGGAAUGGGCGAUUGUCUGAUCUUAUUGCACAGCUGCAGGAUAUAUUAGAGGGUGUAAAUGAAGCUGAUAUCUUGCCGGAGAAGUUUGAUAAUGCAGUUAUUAAAGCUCAGAUUCCACAAUUGGCUCGAGAAAUCAGGGAGUUAACCUCAUCUCGACCUGUAACCAUCUACAAUGAGAAUUCUUCCUCUAGUGGGAAUUAUGCUUCAUAUUUAGUUCCACUUGCUGCACUUGCUGCAAUGGGCUAUUGUUACAUGUGGUGGAGAGAUUGGUCAUUUUCAGAUGUGAUGUAUGUGACAAGGCAUAAUAUGGCAAAUGUUGUUGAAGCUCUAAUUAGAGAGGUAGCUAGCAAGAGCAAUGACUUUGCUGGGAACGGAACAACAAAUACAUUGAAGAUGAGUGAAUGCGCUAUGGGCACCUAUUUAGAUUUAGUAUGCUCUCUUAGUCACCUGGAAAGCAAUUUUGGUGGUGCCUUAGUUAUUGAUUUACAUGUUGAGUUCUCUUUGUUUUUCACUUGUAACCCUGACUGUCGGCUUUUAUGGGAUCCAGGAGAUGCAAUGGCUAAAACUGUUAAGAUGAUACUCUAUUUUAAAAAUGUCAAGGCAGAGUGGCUUAACAGGGUUACAAAAAUAACCAAGUUUGGUAGUUUUAUGGUACAAUUGGAUAGAAGUGUUGAAGCUUUGAAUAAGGGCAAAAAGCAAAAAACUAGAGAUGGUGGAUAUGGUGAUGAGAUAAAGAGAUUGCAUGAUUUAAGCGUGAACAAGGUUGUGGAUAUGGCGACUAGGUUCGAAAGUGCAUUGGUAGGACAUGUUAACAAUAUAAUUUGUAGUACUACUGUAAGAUUGGAGAGACUUCACUCCGAUGAUUGGUGGUGUUCUGCUAUAUCUCAACUGCUGAUGAUUGGUAAAUCCAUCGUAUCUAGUUCAAACAAAACUCAGGAAGCAAAUGUGGAUGCUGUUUUGGGAACCGGUGAUCCGAGUCUACUAGUUGAGAACACUUCAGUUGAGCAGCUUGGUUUCGUCAGAAAGGUGACAAUCUUUAAGGACUCCACUUCCAUUAUUGGUGAUGCAGCAUCAAAAGAUGGGUUGCAAGUCCAUGGUGUGUCUCCAUUUGACAUUAUGGGCAGAAAUCUUUUCUGGGAAAAGCAACUGCAAAGGCUGCAAAUGGGAGCUGUCACAAGAAAGUUCUUGGUGGUUAAUUUCAGUUCUGGUUUUGAUGAAUCUUCAUAUCUCUCUCGGGUUGAAAAUUUUGAGGAGAUGUCACAAGAAAAUUAUGGAGAGGCUACAGGAAACAAGAACUCACUCACUCAGUUCAAGCGAGCUGCCAUACCUGGAAGGAUUAUAAUGAUUUCAAAGUCAAGUUCUACAAUUCCAUUUUUAAGCCUUGAGGACAAGGCUAAUUUUCAAGGGGGAAGUAUUGUUAUGACCCAAAUUAUUACUGAGGUUUUAUGCUUUAUUACUGUGAGGAAUUGUUAAUAUGCCAGCUGGCAUUUAAAAGUGUAGAGGUUUUAUAAAAGGAGCCCCAGCUCCCCCAAAUGUAUCAGAUCAGAAUUUUACAAAAGAAAUCAAUAUUGGAGCUCUGCUCCUUCUUCUCUCAUUCCCUCUUCUUCCAUAGCUUUCUUGUGCCACUUGCAGGUUGAUUAAGGGAAUUGAGAAUUAGAUCUUAUCAUAACGUCACUACCACAACUCCCAAUAUCAUCACGCUGAAUGUCCACACUCGGUUUCUGCUCAAUUAAAGCGUCAAUUUCCUGCAAAAUACUCUCAUCGAAAUCAUCAUCGUUAAGAAUUCCAGAUGCAGAGAAAGAAUCAAAUGAAGUCAGAAACUGCGGUUGUCUGAUUGGAGUUGUGAAAGAAUCCGAUUUUGACACGCUUGAUUCGGUCCGGCUAACGCUUAAGCUCCCGGAACACGAAGCACUGCCAUAUUCACCACGCGCUGAAUUGUACCGGCUUGCGGAAAUCGGAAGCGGUGUUCUUUGAACUCUAUUGAGCUGAGUUGGCGUUUGGAUUCCAUUUCCGCCAAAAAACACAAUUGAAUUGAUUUAAAUUGAAGCAAGAAAACAGCCAAGUAGCCAAAAAAUAGUAAGAAGAUGAAACCUUUGAUUCCUGAACGACUUACUUGGUAUGAGGGAGGUGAUGAUCAGGUGAAACGGCGUCGUUGCAGGGGCGUUUGCGAUCAAUGAGGGCCUUGGCGGCUCUGAAAUUCCGAGAGAUGCGGUUUCUUUGUUCCGCCGUGAGCCCUCCGCCGUACGCCUGAACGUUUUCCUUGGACAUUGCUUCCAAGAUUCCAACGGAGGAUUUGGCCUGACGGCCUGACCAGGCUGAUAACAGUGUAAAACCUUAGGAGCUAAGGAAAAACUAAGAGAGAGAUUGUAGAGAGGGAAAGUUUUUUCUUUUUGGAAACCAGUAGAGAGGGAAAGUUUGUUAAACCUGAAUAAUAUUCUUUUCAUUCAACUUGUCUACAAUAAUUACCACUCGUGGUAUUUAUACAUUUGUAACACACCUCACUAACUAACUAAGACCACCACCAAUCAUACAUAAACACUUGUCAUAAUCCUAUGCACUCAUAGUAUCAUCACUUUAACAUUCCCCUCAAGCUCAUGUGGCAGAUUGCCAAGCAUGAGAUUGGAACAAUUACGAGCGAACUGGGGUGAACACAAGCCUUUGGUGAACAUGUCGGCAUAUUGAUCUGCAGAGGUAACAAACUACAAAAUAAUUGUCCUUUGAUGAACUCUUUCACGAACAAAGUGGCAAUCAAUCUCUAUAUGUUUGGCUUUAUAGUGCAAUACAGGAUUAGUGGCAAGAGCCAUUGUUGAAAUGUUAUCACAAUGCAAAACUAGAACAGAAGGAGAACCAACAUGCAAAUCUCGAAGAAGCUGUUGUAUCCAGAUAACCUUAGCAGUGGUUGUAGCCAUUGCUCUAUAUUUAGCUUCAGUGGAAGACCUACUCACUGUAUGCUGCUUUUUAGAACUCCAAGAGAUAGGAGUAUCUCCCAAAAAAAUGACAAAACCCGUGGUUGAACGACAAUCAUUGGGAUCCCCUACCCAAUCAGCAUCUGUAUAAGCUUUCAACUGAGAUGAACCUGAUUUAAAACAUAAUCCCAAAGAUAUAGUGCCUCUGCGAUAUCGUAGAAUACGUUUCACAGCAGCAAAUGAGUGGCUAAGGGUGAAUGCAUAAACUGACGUACUUGAUUGACAGAAAAAUAAAUAUAUGGUCUUGUAAAUGUUACGUAUUGCAGUGCCCCAACAAUACUUUUGUAAGUGGUAGGAUCAAAAACAGGUUCACUACCAUGAUUCAGAAGCUUCUGAUUAGGAUGACAAGGUGUGGAAAAAAGGUUUACAGUCUAGCAUAUGCAUCUUUUAAAGGAGUUCUUUGACAUACUUGGUCUGAUGAACAAAGAGUCCCUGACCCUGAUACUCAAUCUGUAAACCAAGAAAAUAAUGCAACACACCUAGAUCUUUCAUGCCAAACUCACUAGUUAACUAACUAAUAACCUUCUGAACCUUCACAGCAUCAUUACCAGUGAGAAUGAUAUCAUCAACAUAUAAUAAGAGAACAAUAAUUGAUGAACCAUCACACUUGACAAAUAAAGAAGGAUCUGCAUAUGAUGACUUGAACCCAAGCUUAGGCAAAUAACCUGAAAACCUGUCAUGCUAGGCUCUGGGAGCUUGCUUGAGACCAUAUAAAAACCUCUCUAGUUUGCACACAUAAUCUGGAUAGGUAGAAUCCACAAACCUUUGGGACUGAGACAUAUAAACUUCUUCAUCAAGAAAGCCAUGCAAAAAAGCAUUAUUGACAUCUAACUGUUUGAGUUUCCAAUUAUGAGAUGCAGCCAAGGAUAAAACCAAUCGAACUAUGGUUGGUUUGACCACAGGGCUAAAGGUUUCAUAAUAGCUAAUACCAACUUCUUGAGAAUACCCAUUAGCUACAAUUCUAGCCUUGUACCUAGCCACUGAACCAUCUGGAUUUCUCUUAAUCUUGUAAAUCCAUUUACAACCAACAAGAUUUUUGUCAGGUGCUAAGGGCACAAGCUUCCAAGUAUGAAGCAUCCAUCUCUUCUUUCAUGGCAUUUUGCCAUUGAACACACUUGACUGCACUAGAAAAAGACCGAGGUCCAAUAAAUGGAAAUGUGGAAGAAACACUAGGUGGAUGAAUGAAUGUGUUUGAAUGCACAACAGACACUGGUGAGGAAGAAUGACCAGAAGUAACUUGAGGAUUGAAACCCAAAGCAUUAGAGUCUAUAGGAAACUUGGAUUCAUAAAAAAUAACAUGUCUAGAUACUAAUAGUUUAUGAUCUUUGAGAGAGAAGCAAAUAUACCCUUUGUAUUGUGUAGCAUACCCCAGAAAAAUACACUUAGUAGUUUUAGGUUCAAGUUUAUUGCUUCUAUAGGGUUUCAAUGAAGGAUAGCAUAAACACCCAAAAAAUCUCAAAUGAUCAAGCUUAGGUGGAGAUUUAUAUAGCAUUUCAAAAGGAGACUGCAUAUGUAGGGUAGGUGUGGGCAUUUUGUUUAUAAGAAAAGUAGCAGUGGCACAGGCAUGGAACUAGAAUUUUGAAGGUAAUGAAACUUGUUGUAAAAAGGUAAUAGUUGUUUCGACAAUAUGUUGAUUUUUUCUCUCAGCCAACCCAUUAUGUUAUGGGGUAUAAGGACAAGAUUUUUUAUGAACAAUGCCUUUGGUAAGAAGAAAUUGCUUAAACUGAGUACUAACAUAUUCCCUACCCCCAUCACUCUGCAAAAUUUUUACAUGAGCAUCAAAAUAAUUCGAGACAGAAGCAAGAAAGUUGACAAAAACAGUGAACACUGCAACUUUAUUAUUUAAUGGAAAAAUCUAGGUAUAUCUUGUACAUUCAUCAAUAAAGGAAACAUAAUACUUGUAACCUUCUAUAGACAAACUAGGUGAGGGACCCCAAACAUCUAUGUGAAUUACUUCAAAUGGAGUAAGUGACUUCGAAGCAAUUACAGGAAAAAGGAGCUUGGUAAACUUGCCUUGCAAACAAGCAUUACAAGUAUGAGAUUGAGAGUUACAAGGAAAAGAUAUACAAGACUUAUUAAGUGCUGCAGUGACAGUGGAAUGUGUAGGAUGGCCUAAUUGACAAUGCCACAAUGUAGAAGAAAUCUUUUGACCCACAAAUGCAACUGGAUUAAAAACAGGAGAAAUAGACCUCUGUGGUUUGAUUAUGGGAAGUGGAUAGACAACAUUAUUACUCAGCCCUUGGAAUAGCACUCUCCCGGUGACCUUGUCCUGUAGACAGAGAGAAACAUCAUCCAUGAUACAACGACACUGAUUAUCUUUGCACAACUGAUUCAUAGAUAAUAAGUGUUGUGACAGUUUUGGAACAUGUAACACAGAGUUUAACUUGAAAUUAUGUGACUAAGUGAGAAGAGAAGAGGAACCAAUAUGUUUGACAGCUAAACCUUCACCACUAGCACUGGUCACAAUAUCAUUUGAUGGAUAAAUUUAUUGUCAUGUGCAAGUUUGACAAAUCUGAGGUCAUAUGGUUAGUUGCUCCCAAGUCAAGAAACCAGAAAUCUUGUUGAAGAGUUGAGGAUGAUGCACCAGCUCGUGCUUGCAUAGCAAGAGGAGGAUUUUGUGAGGAUAUAGUUAAUAGAUACAUAUGUGGUAUGACAAGAUACUGAAACUGUGAGCUAUUAGACUGUGGAAUCAUGCCUUGUGAAGGACCACAUGGAUUCUAGCUAGGUGCUUCACCAUAUGACCCAGUAGGCAUUGGAGUUGGCAUAGAUGAGGAUAAACCCUAAGAGAAAUGCUCUGAUGUGCCUGUGAAAUUUUUAUUCUGAUCAAAGCAAGUAGCAGCAACAUGACAACCUCUGUGACAAAUUUGACAUCCAUGUUGAAAACAAUUCAAUGCAGAAUGACCUUUGCGAUCACAUAUUUGCAGAAUGGCCUUUGCAACCCUAGAAAGAAGGAGCGAAGAAGACCAAAUGUGUACGUUUCUCUUUGGUUUUUUUUCCCUCCUAAUCGCGCUGUUCGAAAUCACGGACCUCGGGCCUGGGCCUAGUGGGCCCAAUUAUGAGGCCCAUUAUCUCCGGUCUUCUCGUUCUACUUCUAGUUACCCAAAUUAAGAACGUACGCUUUUAGCGCGAGAGAGAAAUGGAGGCCCUGAUUGCCUCGUACGGAGACUCGUCGUCGGGCUCAGACUCCGAGUCGCCGGCUCCACCUCCACCACCACCUCCGGAGCUCAACAACCCUCAAGAACCGACCCCUGCGCUGCCUCCACCUCCUCUGUCACUUCUCGACAGCCCCAAUUCCUUCGGUAACCUCUGAUUCCCAUCAAUUUUCAUCUUUUAGCUUUCUGUUGUGAUGGCUUUUUCCGAGUUGCCCACCAAGUGUUUGAUGUUUUGCCUCCGAAGAAUUUCUGGACUUAUCGGCAAGCGCCCAGCCGAGCAGAGUUCGGAACUUUCCUCACGUCGAAGGGAACUACGCAGUACAUGUAUACAUCCCAGGUUAUCAAAAUUCUCGAAAUUUUCAGCUCCAUUAGCAAAUGCGAUCGCUUUGCACUUAGUUUUUGCUUGUUUAAUUGUGUGGUUCCAGUUUAUAUACCACCAGCACCAAGGAAAGAGAUGGCCUUGUUUUUGAACAAGCUAGCUUCUCUGCUGCCUGGUCUCCAUGCGGUUGACGUUGACUUCCCGCUUGACAUUCUGCGUAAGGACGAGCACAAGCUUGAACAAGUUGCUUUAGGCAGAGAGUUCCAUAUAAGUCUCGGAAGAACUGUUCCGAUGCGGGUGCACCAGAUUGAUUCCUUGGUGACAAUGCUGCGGCAGAAGCUUCAGAUUCAGAGGCGGUAUGGUUACAUUUACAUUCUCUUGUCUGCAUUGCGUGAAUUUAGUUCUGUUAUUUAACAUAAUUCUGUAAGCCUGUUUUCGUAUAAAUGCACGGUUGAAUCAGCUUUCAUUGUCUACAAGUCUGAAAUAUUUUAACUUCCAUUGAUUUCAGAUAACAAAGCAGAUUCAAGCUGUGAAUGAGGUGUAUAAGCUUCACAAUCUUCCUGAAUUUUACAAGGUUAGCUUUUUCGUGCUUUUCAAACUCGAAUCGGUUCCUGAAUGUAUGACAAUAUAUUGGAUCAAACGAUUUCUCAAAACACUAAUUCACUUGAUGGGGUCUUGGUGAUCACAGGAUCCACGCCCUCACAUCUCGGUAGCUUGAGCAUUGGGUGACAUCAGCAAUUCCCUGAACAAAGUGGUUGAAGAAGAAAGACGAAGAUCUACCAUCGGAGGAUCGUUACAGAAAUGUAUUUUUACCAGUAAAUUCAAUGGUAUCGAUAUCGAAUGUAGGAUUGGUAAUAAAACACACAAAAUAUGUAAAUUUUCUGAAGAAUAAUGUAGCCAUUUAACUGUAUUGUGAAAUUCCGAGAAUAUAUGGCUGAGCAUUGGAUGAGAAGACAUUUCUUCGUUGGUGUCGAACUUCUUGUCGAAGGUAUUGGCACCAGUGUAAACGUCAUCAUCCAUGUUGAUGGUAAUUACUUACCAGCUACUAAGGGUGUCGGAACAACCUUGCACGCACCCUCCUGUGCAUUACUUGGUAUUGUCUCGGAUUCUCCAAACUUGAAUGCUAAUGUAAACCCACUCUUGACCUUUCCGUCAUCUGCAAUUACCGGAAAGCCGGCUUGGAUGUUGCCGUUGACCUACCAAACUUAAAAUACCGACGAAAUGUUGGAGUACUUCAGUGUACUACUCGUUUUUGUAUGCGAGAGCUCCACCUCUAUCGUUGUAACAGCAUCUGAUGCGGACUAGUCCUUCAUUCCCGUUACUCUUUGCCAUCUCCACUUCAAACUUGGUGUGAUGGCUCCCGGCCUCCUCUCCGGUGAAAUUGAGUAACCCCGGAGCUGGCGUGCCAUCAAGAUUUCCGUUGUGUCUCUAUUUGCUGUUGUGGUUCGGUUCCACUAUAAACUUGGCAGAGUUAGCAUUUUCAUUCUGUUGUCUGUAUAUCUUGAUAUUACAAGUAUUUGUUGUGCAAAAUGCAUGCUAAGUUCAAGUUAUGUUUAUAUGUGUGUGUGUGUUGCCACUUUUCCAACGUUUUCUCCAAAAUUGUGACGAGCAACAAAGCAGUUUUGAUUCCGUGCACAACAACGAUACCUCGAAAGAAAUUGAUUCUUCCCCAGAAAGAUGUUUUAAAACAAAGUUGAACAAGGGAAGAAAACUUUUGAAUCGCAAUCAGAUGUCUGGUCAAAUUCUUUAACAGUUGAUGUAUACAGAAGUUCCUUGCUUAUGACACGACUUAUGAGAGGAUGUAUGUAUUGCAUUUGCAUCAAAAGAAAGAAAGAAGGUUGUAAGUGGUAAGGGAACGACUACCGAUGCCGCUCCACUUCUAAUCAAAGGGAUCGAUCCGAGGGUCGUGUUCACUUGCCAUCGCCAUUCCAGUGCAAAGGCAUGUCGGGCACAUUACCUGCCACAUUUACAGACGCAAUGUUAGAUAUAGCUGCCAUUUGGAAGUCAUCUCUCAAAAUUUUGCUACUAAAUUAAUCUUAAACUUCAUUUCCAGUGCAAUUUUUUUCUUCUGAAUUGUCUUUCACAUGCCCGACAAAUAGAAGUAUCACCAAACAUGUGAUAUAGAGCAUCUAAGCGGCAGGCACUAAAAGGAAUUUAGUAUGCAAUAAACAUUCAACGGACAUAAUUAUAUGUCUAACCUUUCCCGCUCCUGAGCAAUUUGAACAUCGUUCAGUUUUUGGCAGAGAUAGGGGUUGGUUUCCGCCAUCAGCUGUCGAUACUGGUUCAGUAAGAACAAGGGUUCCAGUGCUGGAGCAACGAGCACAAGCAAGAGAUCCUGCGUAAGUAUCAAAUACACAGGUAAGUUGACAUACGAAACCAAUCCGAACAUCUCCAUCGUAUAUAUUUAAAGCUACAGUACAUAAAACUAAAAGUCAGAAAUAUAGGACAUUAUCACACCAGUUCCAAGACAAUAUUUGCAUCGUUUAUGCUCCUGCUGUUUCACAUUGUUUAUUUCAACUACCAUCAAUGCUGAGAUCACUCCGACUGCUCCUCCAGAGAAUGACGCCACUAUGGGAUCAACUUGACUGCAGUUUGAAAGUAAAGGAGAUCAAUAAACGAAACUGGUAACAACAUAGUAUCAACAUUAUUUAGCUUCGUUUCAAGAAAGAUGACAUCCUAGGUUUUUCUAAUGUGUAAAAAUUGAGGAUCCUCGUAAAAUUUGACUAUAUCGGUUCCCAAAGCAUUUGAUUCCUACGUUACAGACGGAAAACAGCAACAAUCGAAUUUAAAGAUUCAUAACACGAUAGAUGGUACAAAAUUUCAAAACGAUAAUUACUAGAGAACAGGAGGGUUAAUAGCCUGAGAUAUGAGCAAUACCUCAACUGCAACGGCAGAUGCAUAUUUACUAUAAAGUCUUUAUAUGAUGUGCCUCCUAUUCCCAGCUUCAACUCCAACUGAAAGAUGUAAAGGUAAUUGUAGGCAAAGAGUUACAAACAUAACCGAAUCCAUGUUUUAUAAGCAACAACUACACUUAUUUUGAUAUGUUUCCUCAUUUUUUACUUGCAAAUUCCAAACCAUAUUGUCGGACCAGUAAAAGAAAAUAAUGUUUAUGAUAACUGUUAAAACUAAUUACAACAAGUUAAUGCAUAAAGAACUUACGGAGGGUGCUAUGAGGCCACCGAAAAGGAUAAACCCCGCAAUAAUUGAAUAACAAACAGCAUAAUACUGCUUAAGGUUGUCUGAACUCUGCAAGCAAUGAAUUCACCUUGUGAUUAAUACUUUGCACAAACACUAGUUUUCGCAAUUUUUUAUGAAUCGACAAAAGGCUACAACAAAAUAUGGCUAAAACAUGUCGGGGAUAUGAAAAUACAUGUCUUCACAGGGGCACCAGCUUACCAGGGGAGGCAAAAAUGGAAUGAACGAUGGAAAACUAGGAAGUUCGUUUUCUUGAUCUUCAUUUACCGCUCCAAGCUCUGCACGUUUAAUCCGCUGUUGUAUCCUCAGCCUGCGAACCUACGCAUAUCGAAGCUCAUUCUUAAAGAACACAUUUCUAAUGGCAAUUGGAGAGUAAUUUAAAACAUGCUACACUGAGAAAGUGGUAGCAACUAGCAAUUGCUCUCACCUCCUCCAUAUGCAAGAAAAUUUUGUUGCGACGACUCCGAAUAUUAUCUUGAAUUUCCUGCAGCUCCAUUGUGGCAAAAUCCUGCACUGUUUCAGGCCCCUCUAUGAUACAAAAUCUGCACCAUUAAGCAUGUAAAAAUUAAAAAUUACAAGCUACAAAGCAAUUUCCGUAUAGUUGUUGGGUUAAAUAACAUCAACAGCAAAUAAAUCACAUAGGUUUUUCACAUAAAGUUACAAACUUUCAAGGACUAAUAAGCUGUCUGCAAUCUCAUAAAUUUCACAGUGCAAAGUAACAAUCCAAAGCUUGGAACUUUAAAUUUCCACCUUCUGUUAAUUUUUUAGUGCACCUGGUGUCGUUAGAUUCGAGUAGUAUGUCACAUUAAAUUUUUUUUUUCUGUGCAUGCAUUUUUUUUUAAAAGAAAAUUUAUAUUGUUAAAGAGCGAGUUCGAAACUAUUACAUUAUGGAAGGACAUAGUACCGAAACUCCGACGAUCAAAAACAAAAUCAUGUACAACCACUCCAAGCAGUCAACAUGGCCAUCACAUAUUGAAUCCAAAAUGUUGACGCCCCAUUCGCUGCAUAUAAUGUACAGACGAGCGGCAGCUUCAACCAGUUCUGCCAUAUCCGGCUGGAUGAGAGCAGCUAAAGACAUGAUUGUUCCCUAAUAACAUGAAUAAAUUGAGUAAACACCAAAAGUAGCAGCAAGGGAAGGAGAUGUGAAGUAUAUGAAGAGGUGUAAGACCUGUGAAUGUCCAGCAACAAAGAUUUUGGAGCUUGUUGUCGAAUAAUGCAACGCGUCAUUUCUGGUAGAUCAAAUAGAGCCAAUUCCCGCCAACUCCAAUUCCAAAAUUUCUACAGUAAAGCAUAAAUCUUAUUCUCUCUUCUGAUAAAGAUGAGUGUCCCAGACUCCAACGUGUUCCACACACAUUCCCUACCCAUACAUCGAAACCUUCAUCUGCAAGGACGAAUCCCAGCGAUUCUUCUGGAGAAUUUAAGAAUCAUGCAUCACCUGGUUAAGAUCAAGAAAAGCCAGUAACCAAGUUCAAUUGAGUUAAAAUGUAUCCCAUGGAUGUUCAUCACUUUGCCCAAUUGUUCUUUUCAAGAAAGGAAAUUUCAACAGAACCUGAAAACUUCAGAUCAGGGGGCACCAAAUAGUGAGCUAUACAUUCAAAAUUUGAAAUAAUCAACUUAGUAGGACCAGUAUGUUGAAAAAAUAGGAAGGAGCUAUGAAAGUAAGACUUUUCACUAAUCAGGCGUCCAGAGAAUCCAUAUUUUACCCGCGUAUCAGUUACGGGGAACACUCCCCACCAGAGCAAUCUCAUUAGUCCUUCACAUCUCAACCGUACAGAAGUUGCACUAACAAACAUGACUCCUAUUAGUCCUUCACAUCUCAAAUCCAGGAAGUACCCAUCUUUCGUCUGAAUCUGGAAAAUAAGCAGCAGUCAAUUUAACAAUCUCGGUAUCUCAAAGUUACUCACUUUAAUCACAAAUUUAGCAAUUAAACAUAUAAAUGGGCAUUUUUUUAGGGAAAUAUUAGUAUAGUACUCACUGUGUGCUCGGAGCAAGAGUACCCAGAAAGCUCAAUGAGCUGCGCACAGAGGACUGCAGUGGUGAACGACAGCGACCGCACAGAGGACUGCAGUGGUGAACGACAGUGACCAAUUCUGUAAAAUUUAGUCGAGUUUUGGGAAAUUUCUGCAGCGAUUUCGGAGGUCAAGAGGCUGAUAAGGAAAGCCGCGACCAAAGGGCACUGGUCUGGAAGAAAGGCUUUGGUCGCCGCUAUCGCAAUUCACGAAGGAAGAAGUGCCCCAAAACAAUUUCGGCCCUGGACAGGUGCACUGUUUGCACUGAGCCAGGGCCGGCCCUGAAUCGCGAUAACGUCCUUCUCCAAACAGUAUAUAUACAGAUGCUAGAAAAAUCUACCGGAACUAUUCAAUUCUAGCGUCUACAGCUUUAGCAUUAGUUGGUACAAGGGGCAUUCUUCCAAAGAGGGAGAUGAAAUCGUUGAGGCACCAAAUAGUGAGCUAUACAUUCAAAAUUUGAAAUAACCUCUUGGUAGGACCAAUAUGUUGAAAAAAUUGGAAGGAGCUAUGAAAGUAUGGCUUUUCACUAAUCAGGCGUCCACAGAAUCAAUAUUUUACUCACAGAUCAUUUACGGGGAACACUCCCCACCAUAACAAUCUUUUUAGUCCUUCACAUCUCAAACCAAGUAGAAAUUGCAGUAACAAACACGACUUCUAUUAGUCCUUCACAUCUCAAACCCAGUAAGUACCCAUCUUUCGUCUGAAUCUGGAAAACAAGCAGCAGUGGAUUCAACAAUCUGGGUAUCUCAAAGUCACUCACUUUAAUCACAAAAUUAACAAUUAAACAUAUAAAUGGGCAUUUAUUUAGUGAAAUAUUAGUAUAGUACUCACUGUGUGCUCGGAGCAAGAGUACCCAGAAAGCUCAAUGAGCUGCGCACAGAGGGACUGCAGCGGUGACGACGGCAACCGAUUCUGUAAAAUUCAGUCGAGUUUUGGGCGAUUUCUGCAGCGAUUUCGGAGGUCAAGAGGCUGAUAAGGAAAGCUGGGACGGAAGGGCACUGGUCUGGAAGAAAGGCUCAGGACACCGCUGUCCCGAUUCGUGAAGGAAGAAGUGCCCCCAAAACAAUUUCGGCUCUGGACAGGUGUACUGUUUGCACUGGACCAGGGUCGGCCCUGGCGAUAACGUCCCCCAAACAGCACAUAUACAGAUGCUAGAAAUAUAUAAAUGUAACCUGAAACUACUAGAACCAUUCAAUUCUAGCGUCUACAGCUUUAGCAUUAGUUGGUACAAGGGACAUUCUUCCAAAGAGGGAGAUGAACUCAUUGAGGCUCUUAUUUAUUCCUCCUCUUGAUGUGCCCUUUUAGGCUGCUAAUUCCACACGAUCCAAUCUCAUACAUCUUCCCUGCAAAAGCAUGUGUGCCUGACUUCAAGAUCAAAUUUUUCCAACAAAAGAAACUUAAAGAUCAAACUCGCUAGAGGAAUAAGUGGUGCACAAGGGUGUUAAAAUCUUGACAUAUGUAUAUUUUUGGCAGAUUUUAUGUGAGCAUGCAACUAAAACUGGCAUCACUAUCAAUGGUGCACAAAGAUUGGUGGAAAACUUUAACAGUUUGAGUUGUAACUUCUCCAUUGUAUUUGUUAAGGCAAGACGGAUGUCAUCUAUUCAUUUUUCUGUAAAACUUAAAAGGCUGCAUAGCAGCUCUUGUUCGUUGUAUUGAAUACCGUGGUUUUACUGAUGAAUGCAGAGUUUGCUGAUGAUUCAUACGACAAGCAAUUGAAAAUCCCAUCAUUAUGCCCCCCAUAUACCAGAAGAAAAAAAAGUCAUUUACACAAAUUCAGAGCGUUCAUCCACUGUAAUUUGCAGAUAUAGAAACGUUAAGAUAAAAGGAAAUGCAAAGUACCUUUCACCAAAUUGGAGGAGCACCGGUGGCAUUAGCAAGUUAGCAACGGGAAUUGACAUACCAAUAUCUUCACAGUUUCUGCACAAGCACAAAUCAAAAGAAUCCGGAGGUGGAGUUAUGUACCUCUCCUUGGAAAAUGCCACCUCUUGGGAUUUCAAAAUAUGCGGCCGUGGCUAGCCGUCUGACCACGCCAAUUCCACCAAAGCCGCCGCAACGCGGUGUAGUGUCCGAUUGAUUGCUUCAAAUCAGAGCUUCGUAUCCAUGUGUUUAUCAGCAGAGAGUACCCAAAACCCCUGAAAAUUAUUUCUUUAUUCAGAUAAUAAAAUAUCCCAAAUUUCGAAUUUUAAUUCCGAAUCAAAAAUAGGGUUUGAAUUUUGAUUACCUAUAAAUUGGGGGGUUGCGGUGGAAAGGGAGUCAGCCAAGACGGCGAUAUGCGUCCUCGAGAGGGCUAUGAAAAUACAAAUUACAGAGCGUGUUGGGACGAUGUACAAGGCUUUUGCAGUCUCUCAAAUAUAAAUACCGAAGCUCCGUAAGGCGUUCAAUCCAGGGGGAAAGCUCUUUAAUAGAUGUUCCAUCCAGGAAAAGACUUCUUAAUCCUUCCAUAUUUUCUUCAAUGCUUGGAAACAACUCAAAUUUUGUACAACCGGAAAGAGAGAGAGAGAAAAGGGACUUGAGCUGACAAAUGCUGCUUGGAAGACUCUUAAGUUCUUUGCAAUCUUUUAGAUUCAAAUGAUUCAAUCCCGUAAGAUUAUUAAUUGACGAGGGCAGUUCUUUAAUUUUUGACCCGGAUAAAUUAAGCUCUUCUAACUCCUCCAUACCUUCUGAAAUCUUUGGAAACAUCUCAAGACUAGAGCAGCCAGAAAGAUUAAAGGUUUUGAGAGAUUUCAUACGAAUGCUGCUUGGAAGACUCUUAAGUUCCGUGCAAUUAUGUAGAUUCAAAUGACACAACCUCGUAAGAUUAUUAAUUGACGAGGACAGUUCUUUAAUUUUUGAGCAGGGUAAAUCAAGCUUUUCUAACCCCUCAAUACCUU